UUAUAUAAAAAUCUAAAAAUCCCAAAUGAUGCAAAUCCAUCUAAGUUGGAAUAGCACGGCAUACGAUACACUUUUUUUUUAUUUUUUUGAGCCGGUAAUAUUGUCAAAUUACAAACAUAUCGAUCUAAAUCCAACAUUGCCUCAAGAAAUGGUAAUAGUUGAAUAUGAAUGCCGAAGCCACCCCUAACGGAGAACUGUUGUGCCAGUCAGAACGAUUUGGCAUAAUCGAUAAGCCCAUGUUGGUUGUAUCUUUCAUGCUGAUAAAUUCGUGUCCUCUAUACCUAAUGUACAAGAUAUGUCGAAUGACAUUUUGACAGAUAUCAUGUCAAUGAUACAACAAUCUUGUUCUCAACUUGAAUUGAAACUUCAACUAGCAUUCAUAGAAAUGCUAGCUGCAGUGUACAAAAGUUAUCGAUUUUUCGGUCUUUCCACUAAUCCACCGCACUUCGAGUUCUGCGUUUGUUGCGGCUAGCACCAGCCUGUUGUCACGGACAAAAUAUUUUCUGCUGGCUUCUCCUUGACAGUGGCCCAACUUCGCUAGCGGAGCGGGUCGUUAAAGUGACCCGAACCCAACCCACUAUGGAGAGAUGAGGGGUUUUGUAACUUCUCCCAUCAAUGAUGGAAAUUCAAGGGUUAUGAAACUCCAUGGGGUGACUCUUAGGCUUUUGGCUCAUUAUGAGGGUGAGUUAAUGUGUCUCAUAAUGAGAGAGUUAGUAUGUGUCUAGAUUCAUUACAUCUAGGAGCUUAUAAGUAGUGGGGUUUGGUUAAGGUCAAAACACACAAGAGAGAGUGUGUAUGUGUGGAUUGUAAUUCUCAUUUCUAAGUAGUGUAUUACUUAGUUUUUUGAGAGAACCUCUGUCUCUUUCUCUUUGUCAUUUUCUUUGCAUACUUAAUCGUAGGGCGCGAAGGUCCAGGCUAACAAUAGGGGCGAAGGUUUGCCCAUCUUCGAGCAGGAAGGCGGGCGCCGCACGGACUUUACGAACAGAACCGCUAAGGUCGCGACACUGUGCUGCUUAUCGAGAUCCCUCUCGUGUCCAAUAAGAUCAUACCAUUCGUAUCAAUGCGAAGCGUGCUGAAAAAUACGUCGGCACAUUCUGUGCCAAUAGUACGACAAUUCUCUCCCGCAACUUAAAUGGAACUGCCGAAUAGCACACAGAGCGGCGCACAGAUAUACACACACAUGCACAGAGUGCAUGUAAAAACAUAUUCGGGCAGCUGAGAGGGAAAGAGGUCGGCCGUUUUUUCUUGUCUUCCCACUCACCCGCCGCGUUUUACGCGAUCGCAUUCCCCGUCAGCCACCCCAUCCCGCGCCGUCAUUUCCUCCCACGCCUUCCCCCGCACGAGCUCGUCCUCCGUGUAACGGUUACGUAUCACGCCUCUAGUACAUGUGGGCUCCACUUGUCAGUCUCACAACUUGUGAUAUGCAACCGUUACACCGAAGGAUGCUCGCCCUCUCCGGCUGAGUUGCGUUCCCAUUAAUUUUUUGCUUUUUUGAAUAAUUUAAUUUAAAUAUUUAUAAUUAAAGCAAUUGUUACGCCGUGGCCUGCUGAGUGGACGAACCCACCACCGUCAAAAAUUACUUUUUCAAUUUUUUAUAUUUUUUUUUUAACCGUCAAAAUCACUUUUUAUUGUGCGAGAUUACCUGAAGCAAAUUUUGAAAUACACCCCUUAGUUUUUUUUUACUCUCUUCAAAUUCCUUUUUUUUUUAAAAUUAGCCAUUAAUCAACUCAGUAUUAUUCGGUAAAAAGUAAAUAAUUAAGAAAAAAAAGUUAAUUUGAAAAUAGCGUGUAGUUGAGGGGCUUUAUCAUACAAAUUUUUCAUGUUUCUUUUCAUCUACCGGAGUCGGGUUCGGAUCAGAAGCUCCAAAACGAUCCACGUGGAGAGGGUCAGUUUCGACCGUCCGAUUCGUGUCUCGUGACGGGUCGAUCCAAAUCCCCGGGCCCACGCUUGUCGACCCGUAAAUCCUACGUGUCGGAUCGCCAUAAGAUUGCACAAGAGCCUCGGCCGUUUCCCUGAUGGCAUUUUCGCAAUUAGAGUCCGAAUUUCGGGCAUUUCGUAAAUUUCGUGCUCAGUAACGAAACCCACCACCCACGCUCUCGCUAUUUAAACGCCCCGAGUACUCCAAAUCCCCAAAUUCCAAGGAAAGAGAAAAUGGCUUCGAGAACCCUCUUCUUCUCCUUCUUCGUCUUCGUCCUCCUCCUCCCCGAGUUCGAAGCAUCGAUUACGUCAGCCCUAGGCGAGGGGAGGAGGAGCUCGACGUCGUCGUCGUCGUCCUCGUCUCCGGCGCCGGGGCCGCGGAACUCGACGGCGUUCAUCCGCGCGAGCUGCGGCGCGACGCUGUACCCGCGGCUCUGCUACGCGUCGCUCUCGACCUACGCGGACUCGGUCGCGGAGAGCCCCGUCGCGCUCGCGCGCCUCGCCUCGAACGUCACCGCCGCGCGCCUCCGCGCCCUCUCCGCCCGAGUCGCCGCCCUCCGCCGCCGCCGCGCCGCGCCGCCUCCUCGGGAGGCCGCGGCGCUGCGCGACUGCUGCGAGUCGGCGGGCGACGCCGCCGACCUCGCGCGCCGCGCCGGGGCGGAGCUCGCGCGUCUCGACGCCGGCGCGGCGGCGGCGGCGGCGGCGGGGUCGGGGGCGGCUUGGAGGGUCGCGAACGCGCAGACGUGGCUGAGCGCCGCGCUCACGAACGAGGACACUUGCGCGGACGGGUUCGACGCGGUGGCGCCGGGCCCCGGCUCGGCGAAGGGCGAGGUGCUCGCGCGCGUGCGCAGGGUCAAGCAGUACACCAGCAACGCCCUCGCCCUCGUCAACACCCUCGUCGCCGCCACCCACGGCCCCUGAGAUCGCAUCGCAUCGCAUCCCAUCCAUCCUUCCAUCGCUCUCCCCCGUCUGAUCUUAUCUCAACGGUUCGAUCGCCCUUAUACAUUCCGUAAUAAUUAAUGCUAAUUAAGGUAGUGUUGUUGAUACGAAAAUCGAUAUUCGAUAGUGAGUGUAUGGAUAGGGGAAAUGUUUCUCUUUUCCCAUGUUAUAUAUAUAUAUCUGAUGUAAGAGCUCUUUAAACAACUCGUCUUGUAGCUUUUUUUUUUUUUUUUUUUUUAAUCUUCUUUUUUCUUAUAUAUUUACUCUUUUUCUAUAGAUAAAAAAGCAAGCACUCAGAAUUUAUAUACAUAUAUAUACGUAGAGCUCACGAUUAUAAACGAUUUGUACGGCAAAAAAUUUUGCCUAUUAAACUGUACACAAUUCGAAUCCCGCAAUUACCGCCGUUGAACUUUAGUACUUUGAUUGUUAUGUUAGAUUUUGUUAUGUGGUGCUAUUUCAUGGCGUUUGUUUCAACAUUAUUGCAUAGAUGCAUGUACGACAUGAAUUUAUUGAGAUCGAGGUUUUUUAUCAUAGUAUUUUUUAGGGUUUUAGGGAUAAUUGGUCGCAACUUUUAGAAUUACACUUUUUCGAUCCUAGGUUAAUUUAUUAUUUUUCAAAAUUAUUUUGUUUUAUUUUUAGUCAAUUUAGAAAAGAGAAGGUGGAUCAACCUAAGAAUAAGAAGAUAAGAGAUCGAAUUCGGUUCAACACUAGGACUAGAAUGUUCUUUAUGUAACAUUAGGCUGCGUUUGGUUUGGUUCGGUUAUAACUAAAAAUUGCUUAUCCAGGUACAGGUAAAAUUUAAGAUAUAAACAGGAAUUAGAUCAAUUUUGCGUUUGGAUGAAAAUUAUAUUAUUUCUAGGAAUAAGGUAAGUAAUUGGAUGGUUAGGAACAAAAAGAAUAAAAGUUAUAAUUUUAAAUUAAAAUUAUUUUAUCUAAUUAAUUAACAUCAAAAUAUUACUUUAAAAAUAAAUUAAUAUUAAUAAUUAUAAAUAAUAAAUUAUUUAAAUAAUAAUAAAUUAUAAAUAAAUAUAGAUUAUAAAUUAUAAAUUAAUUAAUAAAAAAUUAAUUAGAUAAUAAAUUAUAAAUAAAAAAUUAUUAAUAAUUAUAAAUUUUAAAUUAUAAAUUAAUUAAUAAUUAAUUAAUUAAUUAUAAAAUAAUAAACUAAUUAUUUAUUUAUUUUAUUAUUUAAGUAAUAAAUAAUGAUUUAAAUAUAUUAAUUAAAUUAAUUAAUUAUUUAAUAUCAUAAUUAAAAUUAUUUUUAGACUUUAAUUAAUCUUGUUCUCACUUGAAAACAAACUUGUUUUAGAAAAAAGAUGGAACGGCAGUUCCAGUCUUAUACCGGUUUAUUCCAGAAAUUCGAAAACUACUGUUCUCAAGUACUAAACGGAUCGUUUGGAAACAAAGGGAGGAACAAGGACUUAUUCCCCCUUUGUUCUCCAAUCAAACGCUACCAAAUAGAACCGGAGAGGUGGGCCCACUUUCAAGAAUAAAGAUGGUAUGUUCCGUGUACAAAUUAUUUAGGAUUAAUAGAUAACUAUAUAUUAUAAUUAUAAAUAACUUUAUUUUUUGAUACAUUUAAUUAUAAAAAAUUGACAACAAAUACUAUUAAUUAUAGAAAAGUAGUGAGGCCUCGGUAUGCAGUUAUUCUUAAGAAACUAUCAUCUGUAAUAUGUCCAACGUGUACAAGCUUUGGCUGGUUACUUAAACUCAAGUCUCUGAAUCAUGCGGAAAACGACUGUGUCACAUUUAUACCAUAUCAUAAAUAAUUAGUCCAUCACCUUUUUUUUUUUUAAGAGAAAAGCAUAAUAAAAUUUUUUUUAAUAACCAUAAUGGAAUGGGUCCAAAAGAAAUAAUAUAAUUGGUUUUGAAAACACCAUAUUAGGAAUAUAGCCGUACAUUCUUGUUAAGAGCCAAACGUCCGGAUCCUUGAUCUAAUCAAAAAUCUCUCUCGAAAAGCAUGCAGGAAUGCGGAACGGUUGUGAAUAGUGAUUCUCGAAGUUUGCGUCAUUCGACUGGAUCAAGCGAUUCGGCUGAUGAGGGAUCGGAUCAGCCGAGUUCGAAAAUCUUUACUGUAGAUUCAAUUCGGCUGGAUAAACCGAAUUGAUAAAAUGCACAGAGUUUUGGGUUGGCUGAUGAGCAAAAUAGAUGGAAUACACAGUGACUGAUCGGCUGAAAGAGCCAAAUGCCUUUAUAUAUAUAUUAAAAUGAAGUUGGGAAUUCAUACAAAACAGAGUGUGCCCGAAGGACAUACAGACUCUGAAAAUCUAGAUUACAACAGAGUUUGCCCGUGGGGCAUACAAACUUCAGAUAUCUAACUUAAAAACUACUUCUAGAAAAGACGGUAAAUGCGGAUAAAAAAGAUUACAUGUAGACUACUCCUAAAAAAGCGAUAAAUGUAGGAAAGAAAAGUAUUGAAAAUGCGGUGGUCUUCUCAUUCAGGGGAGAGAAAGAACCCUACUACAGGCUUCAAAGUUACUACUUGUAAUAUCUUAUCAGCCAUAUUAUUGGUUGGUUAUAGUAGUAGAGAAAGUGAUGUAGCCAUGAUCAUGAAAGUUACGCCACAUUUCUUAUGAAAGUUACGCCCCACUUCUCAAACAUUCCCGCCUAAACGCUCUUGACCUUCAGGCGUCUUAUUGCCGACUCCUGAUGUACCACGUGUCUUUAUUUUUUUGACUCAUACGUGGAUUAGGUCGGCACGUUAAUUUUUUGGUAUCAACAAUCCUAGAAUUUUUUUUUUGUAAAUUAGGGCCCUUGUAGGGCAUUAAUUUUGGGGUUAAUUACACCAUUUUCCCCCAACCUCUGUUCAAUGUUUAAAUAUUUUGCGAUAAUUAUUCACGCAGUGGUCCAGUGGAAGUCAAUCUUAAAGUUAGGCUCAAUUACACUUUUGUUCCCCAAACUUUCAAGAGAGUGAUAUUAUAGUCCUCCCUUUAAGUUGUUUAAAUUUUUUGUUCAAACUUUUUAGAUUGUUGUAAUCAAGCUCAUGAUCGUAUUAAGUUGAUUAAAUAGUAAUGUAUUGCAAAUGCCAUAGUGAUGUGAUAAUGCAAUGAUUAACAAUAUGACAAAUGACUAAAUACAACAUUAUUGUUAUAGAACAUCAUUGUUAUACAACCAUAUAUCAGCAUUUAGUCAAUUAAUUUAGACUAUGAGACUAAACUGUAAUAAUUCAAAAAUUCAAAAAAAAAAUUCUAUGGAAGUUUGAGAACCAUAAUAUCACUUGCAUCAUAGUUUGAAAAGCAGAAGUAUGAUUUGUUCUUAAAUUUACAGGGAAAGAAUAAUUUUUGGCUUGCAUUUUCACGACAAUGUUAGACACUUUUUUAGGGCGCAAAAUUCAAGUACGAACUGUGAAGGUCUCACUUCUCAGGAUCCAAGAAGAGUUUUGUGUUGUUGAGACAGUUUCCACUGAUUUUUUUUUUUUUUCCCCUCUCCAGUUGAUGAUGUGAAAAGUAUUAUGUGUGGCCUACUAACCUCAGAAGAUGUUAGCUAGGCAAAUUUAUUUGGUUUUAUGCAUUUCAAACUACAACUUUGGAUUAAAACACAGGCAUGUUCAAGAAGUUUGUUUAUUUCGCUGUAAUUGCAAUCAAAAUUAGACUUGUUGAAAAAGGCUCCACUUCGAUCUAUAUCCAAAUUGAAUAAAGUUGUAAAUUUGGGAGAGUAAUCUCACCUGCCUAGUCAUCUGCUAAAGAAAAAGAGGUAAACUUCAUAUACCACCCCCGUGUAUGCACUUUCUCACUUUAGUAUCUUGUGGUUUAAAGUGCAGCAAGUUAGUAUUCUAUGGUUUCAUUUUUAUCUUGUCAUCAGCUUUCCCGUUAAUAUUUCAUUAAAUUGUAUGCAAAAAAUUUCAAAUACUCCACCUAGAUUUAUCGAAUAUUCACUUUAGUAUCUUUUAGUUUUAACUUUUUUAUUGAUUUGACGAAAAAAAUUAGUAGAUUCUGUAAUAAAAAGAUAAAACUAAAACAUAGGAUACUAAAUUGAUACAUUUAAAAGUUAGAAAGUGUGAAACCACAGGAGUGGUAUUUAAAGUUUUUCCAAAAAAAAAGCUUUUUCCUCUUGAUCACUCGUAUAGAAAACAUGAAGAGUAAAUGCAGCAUUCAAUUACAACCGGUCAAGUAAAUGUUAUUUUGUUUAUGGAUUAAUUUCAUACAUAUUUCUGCAAACAUAGUAAAUGACAAAUAUAUCUCUACAAAUAUAUUUUUCUGGUUUGUUAUCGUUAGUGAACCGUUUAUAUUUUCAAUUUUGGCAUCACAAAUAUAUCCUUCCAAAAGCUAUACUAGUAUAAUAUAAAAGGGUAAAAAUAUUAAAAACUGAUUAGGGUUAAACCAGAGGAACAUAUUUGUAGGGAUAUAUUUGUUAUUUAAUCUAUGGUUAACUAACUUUUUUCUAACGAAUUCUAACGGCAGAGACAUAUUUGAAAAUAUCAGGACUUUUGUAGGAACAAUAUAUGAAAGUUGAAUUUUGUAGAGAUAUAUUUAUUAUUCACUAUAUUUGUAAGGACAUGCAUGAAAUUAACCUUUUUUUUUUAUUGUAACACUCUAAUUACAAACUAUCAAGCUAGUUAACUGUAAAUGUAACUACUACUUGUCCAAUUGCAUGUACAUCUCGUUACGUUCUAUUUGCAGCCAACGGUUGUACUCUAAAAAGAAACUUAAGCUGUUGGAGAACAGUGUUUAUAUAUUUUUAUAUUUAAUACUCUCCCUCGCAUUUGGGUCGAGACUUUUCGCUAGACUCAUGAUGUAAACUUGAAUUAAAUAGAAGAAAAAUUAAUAAUGUUAGGAUCCUGACGUGACUCGAACUCUGAACCUUUUGAUACCAUGUAAAAUAAACAUUGUUUUCUAUAAACUUAGACUGUUAGAGAAUGGUAUUUAUAUUAUUUUAUAUUUAACACAGCUAUAUUUAGCUUAAUGGCCUCUAAAAUGGUUAAUUAGAAACAACCAUCAACCCUUAUGGUAGCGAUAAUCAUCAAGACAUUUUGCUUCUCAAAUAUUAAUUUAUUAUAAUUCUUUAUUUAGAUUUUUCAAAUUAUUGCAAUUAAGCCUCAUAAUCAGUUUAGUUGACCAAAUAUUGAUCUAUUGGUAAUAUAAAAGUGGUAUAGUAGUAUUAUCUUUGAUAACAUGAUAAUGACUAAAAUAUCACACCACUUGCACAUCAACGACGUAUUAAAAUUUCGUCAACUAAAUUGAGCUGUGGGACUUGACUAUAGUAUGCUAUAAAGUCCGAGUCAAAAUUUACAAUAAAUUAAAAUUUGACAACUAAAGUGUUAUGAACCUUAGGGUGCGUUUGGUUCGCACUAUCUUUUUAAGAUUUCUAGUAAUUCAAUAGGAAUAAAAAAAAUGACAGUAUUUGGCUAAACGCACUAAGUAAUUUAGUUGGUAAUAUUGGAUUUACUUGGGAAUGAGAUUCCUCCCAAAGUACUAAUCUCAUUCCUUUGAGGGAUGGUGGGUAUCCUUAUACUAAUGGAUUGGGAUAAUUAUAAUAUGCUAAUCUCUUUCUUUCUUCCUACCCGCCGGCUAGUUAGUAUUAUUUUUCUUUACACUCCAACCUCAUCUCUCUCUAAACUUAUCUUUUUCUCUCCAAACUUCAACUUUUUUUCUCUCUCUAAACUAAGCUCUCUUCCCCUCUUUUUCUAAAAUCUCAACUCUCUCCCUCUAAUCUCGACUCUAUUUCUCUUCCUAUUUCUUCAAUUAUGUUAUCUCUCUCUAACCCAUGUUCUCUCUCUUUUUUUUCUAAAAAAAUUGUUGAAAUUUUUUUUAGCAUUAUCUAAAAUUAAUUAAAGAAAUAAAUAAAUUAAUUGUAUUUUUUUUUGUAAUCUUAAAUAACAUAACUAAAUAAUAUGACUGUACGAACCAAACACAGGAAUGCCACAUUCUUAAUAAUAGUGUGAGAUCUCUGGUGUUCAGCAGUAAAGGCUUGUCGACAGCUCUGGAGAGUGUCGGGACAAGUCUGAGUGGCGUUGGCGCGAAAUAGACGCAAAAUAGACUCUGUGCGACGCGAGAGCAGCAUUUAGCAACAAAAUCUGCAAAUAGCUGAUUUUUUACUUGCUGUACCAGUACAGCCAUCAUGGUGUACCGGUACACUGCACAGGCUACGCGCAAACUGCUCUUGGGUUGGCUUCUUGUAUCGGUACGCCAGGGUAGGUAGGAGGUUUUUUUGGUCUUUUUCCACCUCGUUCGUGGCACCCUUUCCCUCUCUCUCUAUUUAGGCUUGUGUAGAGCUGAGAGAGAGAGAGUUUUCACUGUCCCUCUUCUCCUCUCUCUCUAGCUUGGACCGUGGGCGAGGAGGAGCUCGGGUGGAGUUCGUUUGUCGUCGACGUCGCGCCGCGGUGCCAUUUGAGUGUGUUUUCUUCGUCGUGGUGCUGCGAGGAGGCAGGGUGAGCGUGGUUUUCGCCGUCCUCGACGUUGGGCAGAUUCCUGAGAUGUUUUCGAGGUAAGUGAUCCAUCGAAAUCACUUCAAUUACUUCAAGCUCCAUCAAUUUCGGACUAGGAUGCUGUUUCGCAGAUUUCCGCGUCGACCGUAGGCGUUUCGGCUCGUACGCGACGUAGGAGAGUCAGAUUGCGAUGAAACUUGGUUCGUUGGAUUCAGGACUUCGAGACGAAGCCCAAGAUUGCAGGAUUUGGUGAAGGUUAGCUUGGUCGAACCUUUAUUUUACUCUGCUGUUGCUAUACGUGGACAAAAUUGAUGGAUUUUGAUUGUAGAGCUUGGAGUUAGCUCGAUUUCUGGAUUUGGAGGACUUCGGUUGAUCCAGCAGGUUGUUCCGCAGCUGAGGGGGUUUUUUGCUGCCAGGGAUUAGCUCUCGAGGUGGGUUUUCAUCGGGUUUACUUCUAAGUAAAGAUUAGUAAUCAUGUAUAGUUUCCGAUUGUUUAUACUUCGUACUCGCUUAAAUUCAUUGAGUAGCAUAUUGGCUGAAAUCUGAAUUUGAAGCAUGUGUGGAAUCUAGUUACACUAUACAUGUUGGACAUGGAAAUUUAAUUAGAAGAAAACCAGCGAUUUGGACCUGUCACCUGUUUACACUAUCUGAUUUAGCUCUAGGAGCCGUUGAAAUUUUGUAUCGUCGCAGUAUCGAGGCGACAGGUACCCCAGGUAGUUUAGCUUUCAAUUACGCUCGUGCUGGGAUACCGAGUGUAUUUUUACAGUAGCGUUUAGGCUGUUCCGGACUGUUGGGUGCCGUCGGGGUUGACGGUGGACCCAUAUCGCCAUUUUGGCGUCGGAUUGUGCCGAAGGCACGUGACUGUUGGUUGUUAGACCAGUUAGUGUCGGUUACUUGGACUUUGGCUUGAAAGAGCCUGAUUUAGCUCGACACAGAUACGCUGCAUACUCGGUUGGGUAGCUCCCACGAGUGCCACUCCGGAGACGGGCGCUGUGCUUUCGCGUUGGUGUCGUGCAUACCGAUUACACUUGCUCUCCACGGACUGGUUAGUGUGGAGGUAGUUGGAUAGUCUCAACUGGGCGGGACGGGUGUGUUCACAGUCCCUGGGGCGGGUAUGUUUACAGUCCCUAAAGAGAUUGGGUCAGAAUUGACAUUUCUACAGUAGGUUAGCUUAGAGCAUGAUAGUGUAAUAAAUGGUAGCUGUAGAUUUUAUUCCGGCAUUUAUUAUUACCUUUGCUCCCUUCUGUAGACUUAGUGGGUGGACCGAUAAUGUUGAGGGCGGUACCCACUGAGGACUACUUGUUUUACAGUAGUUCUCACGCCCUAUUGUUAUCCCGUUUUUGUAGAGCCAUCGUCUUCGGCUGCUGCUGUUGCUGAUAAGGAUCGAGGCAAGGGCGUCGCGAGUUAGAGCCCUACCCGACGAGCCAAGCUAGAGGUGCCCCUACAGCAGGUAGUUGUUUUGUUGGAGUUUAUGUACAUACUUAUAUUUAACUCGCUAGUGCGAGUAGUCUUGUACUUUGGAUUUUGGCGUAUGUAUAUGGAACUCGGUUUGUUUUAUUUCUGGUUCUUCUAGCAGCUCUAUACUACUGUUGUAGUAUUGUAUGAUUUACAGGUACAGCUAUCGCUUCGUAUACAGGAAAAAUUUCUUUGUAUACGGUGUAUUUUUCGGCGUGUCCGGAGAACGUGUAAUCCGGGGCGUGACAAAUAGGAUGAAUAGGAAUAAGAUUUUUGGACAUCUUUUUUUUCCUGGUAAUUUUUCAUAGUGCGAACCAAACGCGCCCUUAUAGUUUAAUAAGGAUCAAAACUGUAAUUUAGCCUAGUAUGAAUUCUUAUGGAGCCUUAGCGUGGAGAAAUUCUACACUGUCACACUUGUACCACGUCAUCAAUAACAAGUAAAUCACAUUUCUUCUUUUCAAACAAAAGCAUAAUAAAAAUAUUUUUUUAUAAUCAUGAUGGGACAUAUAUCUCUAAAAGGAGAUAUUUGGUUGAUUUGUUAUGCUACGUCACCAAUAUACCCGUUGCAUUCUAGAAUUUUUACUUAGCCUGAGGGCCUAAGUUCCCGUUUAGUAUUGAUGGUUACUAGUGUAAUGACCCGCGCUUCGCGGCGGGAGGUCUUAAUAUUGAGAGCUAAUAAUAUGACUGUAAUUAUAUUUAUUUAUUACAAAACAUACAGAUAUAUAUAACAUUCACAUUAUGUAAGAUAACUAAAUAUAUACUAUAGAUUAUCUAAUAUGAUGUAAUGUCUUUGAUAAUGCAAAUAUAAUUGAUAAAACAGUUCUUAAAUCAUUAUGGCCUAUCGGUUCCACUUGAUUUCUUGCGGGUGUUAACUUUGCUUGUUCCUUCUCCAGUUUUCGAACUGCGUAAGUAUGAACAAUAUUUCACAUAUAUAUAUNNNNNNNNNNNNNNNNNNNNNNNNNNNNNNNNNNNNNNNNNNNNNNNNNNNNNNNNNNNNNNAUAUAUAUAUAUAUAUAUAUAGAGAGUCCGGCUGCUAUGGUAUUAAUAGCACGAAGCACUUGGUGCUACUAAGUUUUCGCCGUUAGAUCUACCCUUUUGAUCAUUUUCAUCCGUUAAAUCAUACUAUUCAACCAACCACCCACUCAACCCUAGGAAGCCUACAUCAUUCUAACCGCAUAUCUUUUAAUUCAAUGGCCAAAAACUUGGUAGCACCAAUGACUUGGUGCUAUUAAUAGCAUAGUAGCCUAGUUCUAUAUAUAUAUAUAUAUAUAUAUAUAUAUAUCUUAAUAUUAUAUAUUAUAUAUAUAUAUAUAUUAUAUAUAUAGAGAUAUGUUCAUAGAUGCCUUCAGGGAUUAUUAUUUCAUCAAUGCCCUUCUAAAACGAUAAUAUCAUGAAUGCCUCCAAUAUAUCAAAAAAUUAUCUAAAUACCUUCACUAGUUAAGUUCGGUCAAAGUCCCUUAAAAUGAGUUAUAUUUUUAAAAUGCCAUUUUACCCUUUAUCUCCCAUUACAGUAGAAUAUAAUAGAUAUUUCAAGACAGUUUCUAUUAAAACUAAAUUUAAUUAUUAUAUUACUAUAUUAAAUUAAAUUAUUAAUAUAUAUAAUAUUAAAAAUAUAUAAAAUUGUAUUUUAAUAUAGUAUGUUUUUAUAUUUUUUGGUUUUGUUUUCUGCCUUCGGAUUCGGUUUCAAGUUGUGUUUAAUAUAAUCAAACCAUAAUUGAGUUUGAAUAUAAUGUGAUUUAUUUUUUUUUGUAACUUUAACUGAAAACUACCGUACUCAGUAUCGAUUAAGCUCACCCCAUUCAAAAUCGAGUUCAAAUAAAAUUGUGUACACUAUAUCAAUUCACAUUCCUAAUCAGUAAUAGAUAAUUUUGAAAUAAAAUAGAAAUUUAAUUUUUUCCUAUUAAUAAAAAAUUAAAUCAAAUAACAAUAUGCAUGUAUUUUUUGUCGACUAAAAAAAAGAAGGUUUUUCGUUCGUAGGCUAAAUAUAUUAUAUUUAGUUUUUAAUGUAUUUAUGGAGAAAUUAUUGAAAAUAAUUUUUGGUUAAAAAUUUUUAAGCUUCCAAUAUUAAAAAAAGAUAGGAAAAAUCUCAACUUUUAUUUUAUUUAAAUUUUUAUACAUAGUUAUUUACUUGCCAAUUUAAUAAGAGCACUUAGAUUGGUAAAAUCAUCAAAAAAUUUGAUAAAUCUCAUUUUCAUACACUAAAAUUAGUUAAUUUUUUAAAAAACUAAAGUUAAUGGCUUUCAACUAAAUAAUAAAAGUUUGAGGGAGCAGUUUCAAAAUGGCAUAUAGUUGAGAGGUCUCCAUACAUUUUUUGCUUAGGCAUAGGUUGAGAGCAAUAGGUCAUUUUAAAAUUAACCAUCUUUAACUCUUUUAAAACUAUAGUAAAUAAGACAACUGAUGGUAGGGGUAUUGGUGAUAAUUUUAAGUGUUAUAGGGGAUAUGUGAUAUUUUAAACUUUAUGGGGCAUAUAUGAUAUUUUAAACUUUGGAGGGGGUAUCUAUGAAAUUCCCCCAUAUAUAUAUAUAUAUAUUAUAUAUAUAUUUAUAUUAUAUAUAUGUGUGGCAUAAGAAAUACAAAUAAUAUUUUAAAAAUAUUAUAUUUAUAAACAUGGUUUUUCGCUAAGCAGAUGUUUCAAUAGGCAAAACACUAUCGUUGUCGUGACAAAAUACUGCAGUCAACUAAUUUUUUUUUUUGAACAGGCAGAACAUUAAUUAUUAGAUUUUUUUCCUACAAACAGAACAUUAAUUUAUAAUCAGUUCUUAACUUGUUUAUUAAUCAUGCCUUGAUUGGCUUUCGGUAUGAUUAUAUUCACCAAUAGCAUUUUCCACUUGAGCACUAUUUUUAACAGGUAUAAUAAGUUGAUUUUCAGAAGCGGCCACACUAUUAAAUUCCUUUGCAAUAUGAUUAUUCUAAAUCUCCUCUUUUGAUUCUAAUUAUACUAUGAAUUAUUUGUAAAUUGUUUUUUACUUUGCUAACUCCAAUAAAAUAGUAUCUCACGCACAACAUAAAUUUUUCUCUUACAAAAUUUUUCAUACUACACAGCAUAUUCCUUGCCCUCUUGCUUUUUUUCUUAACUUUCUCUAUAUAUAGCAAUAUUGUUUAACAUCAUACACAGGGUUCAUGAAACAAAAAAUUGCAUAGUACAUUGAAUAUUUUUUGUACUUUUGCUAUCUUUCUUAUUAUUACAAUGCAUGCAUCUUCCCCCCAACUCUUUCUACUCAUAGCCCAUGUGAGUCAAUACAUGCCACUUGAACAUAGCCCAUGUGAGUCCAUGUAAGGGAGAGAGAACAUGUGAGGGAGAGAGAGAAAAUCCACCAUGUCGCUCGACGGAGAAACGGCAUUUGAUUUCAACUUUAGUAUAGAGUUUAAUGUGACUUUAUUGUGCCAAAAAGAGUUAUGGCAAAAGUACAUAAUAUUGAUAGUCAUGUGAAUUUAUUGCGGCAAAAAGAGUUAUGACAAAAGGAUAUGUAAAUACUUUAUUUGUUUUAUAUAAAACUACAACAAUUAUAUUAUAACCAGAUAUUUGUGAUCUAUUGUGGUCUAUAUAACUUGACAUUAUAUAUAAAAAGGAAAAAUUAAGGCUCUUUUUUGGAUGUAGGAAUGUACAAUUGGGUAAUAUUCUAUUUGGUACGAAAAUCUUUUAUUAUGAUUGAAAUCUAAAACUGCAAUUAAUGUCAGCAAUAAAAUAAAAUAUUUAUCUUUCAAAUCGUACUUCCAAAAUAAGAUAAAUCAUUCUGUAGGUUAUAUAAACAAUCUUAUCAAAAUAUGAACAUCAAAAUUAUUUAAGAAACAAAAAUCAAACCGUAUAUAUUAAUUACACAAAAAAAAUUUCAUACUGAAUAGUUUCUCAUUGAUAGCUUAUUUCAAUGCCCAAAUGAAGUCUAAAUAUUUUUAUCAUUGUACUUUCUUACCGUACGCUAGUUCAGUAAUUGUUAUUCUGAUUGCAUCCUUGAGAUUGGGAUUUAAUCUCAGCCUUUCCUUUGAAAAAAAAAAAGGCUCAUUCCCCAAACUUCUUGGGUGUUAAAAAUUGUUUAUGUACUAAAUGGUUCCCAAAGGAACCAAGAAGCAAACUCAAAAAAAAAAAAAAAAAAAAAAAAAAAAAAAAAAAAAAAAGUUAAGAUUUACUGGUGAACAAGAGACAAAAGACCCUUUUUUAAAAAUUUUUUUUGUAAUUUAAUUAAUACACUGGAGAAGAGAGUGAACACUUGUCAUAGGAUGGGAAUCUCUUGGACAGCCACAUAGCUUGCAGGGCACAUGAAGGGUUCAGGUGAUGGGCUCUAGAACCCUACCUGGAUUUGUCCUCUCAUUGAUAGAAUCAAAAUCAAGUAAAAUUAAUCUUGUAGCACCCCACAAAAAUAAAAUAAAAUAAAAGUAAAAUAAUUUAAAAGAUCUUUCUCUCCCAUGGACUUUUGCAUGAGUGUAAAAUUCAAACAAAAAUAUCAUUAGACUAAAAUGUCUUUGGUUAAGUUUAUGGUUCUCUUUUUUUUUUUUUCACCAAACUCAAAUUCCUAUACAAUUGCGAACUCUAGGAAAAAUAAACAGAACUUAUGCAAUUCUUAGCGGAUGGAAACAGAUCGAAACAGAUCAAAAGAAGAAAAAGAUUUUCUAGACUCCGCUCCAUUUCUUAGCAAAUCAGAACGAAUUCAAGUCGAUUUUAUUUUAUUAUUUUGAUUCCCACUUGCCGCUUCAUUUGAGACAGCUCGAGAUGGAAUCUCCGACAACACUAAUCCAUUUGCAUCCCUAAUUAUCUCCUUAAACCUUGAGUCUUUAAACUUUUAGUCUCGUGUUAAGUUAGAGCGCGAGAUUCUCCACGGCGAAGCAGACCACGAGCAAAAUUUUGUUGGGGCAUUAAUGAAAUAUUUUAUGUUUAGUUAUUUUACUCCUCCAAUCCUUUUUAUCUAUCAUCUUCUAUUAUGCUAUUUUAGAAUUUGACUUUUGCUUUCGGUACUUAAUAGGAGAAAAAUAAAUUAAUCAGAUUGAUUGAAUCACGACCUUUAAUUAAUUAAGUUGGAUUAAAACGUAAUUAUACUAGAAUGAACUGUUAGCCCCAUUAAAGGAAAAGCAAGAGAAAGAGGAAAAAUUGUAUGUAGACCCCUCACUUAUAGUCACUUCUCAAGUAGCCCUCGCAACUUUUAUUUUUUUUUUAAGCGAAACCUUUUCUAACUUUUAUUUUUUAUUUAAAUUUUGUAACUUGGCUAAGCUAAAGAUUCUUUUAUAUUUAAUGGUUCUAUUGUCUCCUAGUUGUUAAUUGUUCUAUUUUAUUUUAUAGAAAAGUGAUCAAACUCUUAAAUUCAAUAAAACCACUCAUAGAUGUAAUAAUUUUUAAUUUUGAUUAAUAAAAAUUAAUUUAAUUGUAAAAAAACGUAAAAGUCAAAGGAGCGGAAAUCUAAAAAAUUUAAGUAAACUAUUUCAGAACAGCGGAUAAUUCGUUCAUUUUUUUUCUCAUAGAAAAACUAUAAGAUUAAUUGCACUAUUAAUUGGUCCUUAACCUUGCAUGUUGUUUAGUCACGAUUUUUUUUUUUUUUUGGUUAUUAGAUCUCUAGCCUUUAUAUUUUAUUACAAUUAUGUUUCUUUUUCUUAAUAAUUUAUAUAAUAACUACUUUAUUAUGAUAUACAUAUAUAGCAUGGUAUUAUUUACGAAAAUAAAUAAAGUUAUUUAAUAGGCAUCUCACAUGGUUAUAGCAUGGAGCCAUUAGCAUCUUUCUAACUUACAUGUAUAUAAUUUUCAUUUCUUUAUUUAUUUUUUAUAUAAUAUGAGAUUCUAUGUUUGAUAAAUAAUAUUACGUACGGGCUUUUAAAUAAUUUUCCCAACAAAUAUUUGAUUCGCCUGAUUUUUAAGUAAUUACUCAUGUACCAAUAAAUGCACUUGAUUCCCUUGGUAUAUUAUCUAGACAUCACAUAUAUAGACAUGGAAUAGGAAAUACGAUACAAUUCGGACACGGUAACUGCUUUCAAAAAUUAGGAUACGGAGACGGGCAUAAAAAUCGCUAAUAAAAUAUAAUAUUAUUAAUAUAAUAAUAUAUAUUUGUUAUAUAUAAAAUAUUAAUUUUGACAAAAUAUUAUUAUAUUUUUCAUACGAUUGAAAGUUAGUAAAAUUUUCAUUUAUAGUUGAUAUAUUGCAAAAAGAAAAAAUUUUCACUAUACAUAAUUUAUAUAUAUUGUCAAUGAAAAAUUUUAUUCAUUCAUUAAAAAGUUAAAAUAUUUAUCAUCUUACAUUAUAUAUGUAUAAAAAAAUUAUAUAUAUAUAUAUUUAUAGAGAGAGAGAGCGAGAGAGAAAGAGAAUUGAGCUGAAUACUGUGAUAGUAUUUGCUAUUAUUUACUAUCAAGUUUUAUAUACUAUUGAUAGUAGAGGUGCCAAUGCACGUCACCAAGAAAUAAAGUUUUAAAAAUAAUUUAUUAUUUUUUUGAUUUUUCAAAGUUAAUUUAAUUUUUGAUAGUCAAAAAAAAAAAAUUUAAACCACGGCCAACUUCUCUCUCUCUCUCUCUCUCUCCUCUCUCCUCUCUCUCUCUCUCUAUAUAUAAUAUAUAUAUUAUAUAUACUAUUAUAUUGUUUAUCGCUAUAAAUCGACAUUGAACGCGUAUUUAAGAAAUGUCCACAUCGAACACAUUUCCGACACUGACAUGCGUGUGUCCGAUAUAGACACGUGAGGCUUAUAGAAGUGUCCUGAUACAUAGUAUAUUAUUCUAUAUAAAUAUAUAAAAAUAUUCUAAAUAUAUUAAAUUGUUCAAUUUUUAUAGUUUUAUGUUUCGGAUUAUAAUAUAACUAUCAACAAAGUGAGGUAUAGAUAUAAUAUCCUCUCUCAGAUGAUAUAUUAAAAAUCAGACUCAUCAGCUAUAUUUAAAAAAAUUUAUACAUUAAAUAUUUAUUAGAUAAAAUCGUACAUAACUUAUUUGAGCUAUGAAAUAUUUCGAAUCGACUACCCAAUUUUUCUAAAUUUUACUUUCACUGCCAAAUCUUUCAAUUUAUUGGGUUUGAGUCAGUCAGCAGUAUUUUGACUUUAAAAUUUAAAUUUAAUUAUUUUAAUAAAUUUAUAGUUGCAAGAAUUAUAUGAAGUACUAUACUAAUUAUAUCUGUAAGAAUAAGCAACAUAUUCAAAUUUAAAAUCAAGAUGCUGUCACUACAAGAAGAACGUGUUUUGGCGGCGACUUUUUUGUGGCGACAAGUAAUGUCGCCACCUAUGUAGAAGAUAUGGUUUAUUUUUAAUCAAUCGUUUGUUUUUAAUGGCGACAAGUUAAAUCAAUCAAUCAAUCGCUUAUUUUUAUGGUUCAGUUUGUAUGGUAUGGAGGUAAUUGAGCACUCAAAAAUUUUAUUCUGAAUAGUUAAUAAACAAAUGUUAAUUGUAAUAUUGCGUGUAUAAAGGGUGAAUGAUACUUCUUUAUAGAAUGUAUAAUAGUUGAAAUUAUUGUUCUUAUCAUAAUAUCAUCUCAUUUUAUUGAUUUUUUUGAGAAAUUAACUGAUCAGUUACAAUUUUAUCAUAAUAUCUAUGUUCUUAUCAUAAUAUCUAUGAUCCAGCUUCUGACUUUGUGCCCUACGAUUAGCUUCAGUUACAAUUUUAUCCUGAAAUUUUGAUUUAGUCCUCCAAGUUUUGUACUUGAUUGGAUAUUAAUUUAACUUCCCUCCGAGAGUAUCAGUUUUACAUUUCGUGCACUCUUUUUUUUAAAACGUAUUUAGAUUUUUAGAUAGUUAUUAUUUGGAUUAAGUUUCAUAAUUUAGGAUUUUUAGGUUACCCUGCUUGAGGUAGCUUUCCAUAUUUUGUAUUUGUGCAAUAUUGUUGUCAAGUAACCAGGGUUCUUCUUUAAUCUUGAAUGUUGCUUAUAGUGGAAAAGAUGAUAAGCUUGUCACUUUUCUGUUGCAGGUUUAAUUGUUGGAGGACUUGCUAAUAUUUCAAAUACAGAAACCAACAUUAGGUUUGCAUUGCUUAUUUCUCAUUCCAUUCAUGUUUGUAUGCAAAUGUACGACGCAAAAUGUGUGUGUUUGUGUGCAAAUUCACAUAUUGUUUGAAACAAUUAACUCUAAAUGCUUAAACUGUGUUAGCAGAUGGAAGGACCAUGUAUUUUUUAUUGUAAUAAUUGUCCCUCUUAGGUCUGGUCUCGCAACUCUUAAAACGCCUAUGUAGUGGAAUCAGGAAUGGAAGGGUGGGGUUUCAAAACUAAAAAGUGGAGUGGUCCAGCUACUUUUAUACCAUGUGAAGUAACCAAGUUCUAUCCAAGCUGAAUCUACUCAUGAAAAAUCGGCUUGUAUUUUCAUGCCCGACACAAACAUGUAUAGACUUAAGGAUGUGUGAUUUCUCGACAUCUAGUGAGAGUUUCAUAUACUUAUUAGGAAAAUGAAGUCUCAAAGUUACUCAGUUUUUUUGUUACUCUUAAUGCUCAAUAUUUGGUUACAUGAACUGAAUUAAUGUCGGUUUCUGUCUGUUAUAUAGUUCAUAGCCAACAUUGUUAUCUACGUACUUGGCCUCUUUAUUCUUAUAUUGUUUCCGUUAUCAAUUCAGGGAUCAACAAAUGUUGAAAAGCUAAUUUUUUUUUAUUUUUAUUUGCAGAUUUAUAAGAGGUCGUGACGAAUAAAAUUUUGGCAGUAUUUUGGUGAUGUAUUGAAUCAAGUUUAAGAAUUUAGACAUAUUUUGAAAAUUUUACAUUUGAUAGCAUGUGGAAAUGACAAAAAUACUAUUAUUGUGUUUUGUUUUUUGGUUGUGUUGGGUGAUUAUAUUAGAUGACAAUGCAAUGAUGCUCUAACAUGGUUCUUGUAAGACAAUUUAAGUUACUUAUUUGCCUUAUAUGAUUAUCUAUGCUCUUCUUAAUAUUUAAAGUUUGAUUCAGUCUUACUUAGUUAUGUGGAUUAAUUUUAUGAUUAAAUACUUAUAGAGAUUCAAUUAGAUUUAAUAUAUAUUGGUUCUAAGGUGUUUGAGCCAUAUUGCUUGGGUUUAAUUUUGUUUUGAGAGGAUUAAAUUGAAAUUAAAGGUUAAAAUUUAAGAAUGAGAAAUUUUUAUAAUUAUAGAUUAUUUUUUAGUAAUUUAUACUAAAUCAAUAAUAGAUAUUACUGCCAAUUACUUUUUAAAAAAAAUAAUUUUAGACCAGAAAAAUAGUGGCGACAGUAGUCGCCACCAUAUAACUAGGCCGGCGCUAAUUAACUAACUUUUAGCGGCGACAGAAUGUCGCCAUUAAUUAUCUAACUUUUCGCGGCGACAAAUUGUCGCCACCAAAUAUUUCGCGGCGACAGAAUGUCGCCAGUAAUUAGCUAACUUUUCGCGGCGACACCAUGUCGCCACUAAUUCUCUAAUUUUUCACGGCGACACUAUGUCGCCACUAUUAUCUAACUUUUAGCGGCGACAUUUUGUCGCCACCAAAUAGUUUUACCGACGGGGCUUUAGGCGGCGGCAUGCGGCGAUCAAUUGUCGCCGCCAAAACGUUUUUCGUGGCGACAAUUUGGCCUUUGGUGGCGACAUUUGUCGCCACUAAAUCUUGUAUCUGUAGUAGUGUGUUAACUAGCUCAAGUCAAAUAAACUGAAAAGAUGGCUAUAUAAUAAGAUCAACAUUUUAAAAGGUUUAGUAGCCAAUUCAAAAUAGCUUAUAAUUCAGAUAAAUUUUAUACAUUUUAAUUUAUUUAUUAAAUAUAUAAUUAUUAAAUGUCCUUUUAUUAGGUACUAGAAAAGGAAUAUAUGAUUGGGCACUUCAAGAUUUGUGGAGGGACAUAAUCAAGUGGUGACAACCUAGCAAUGUGAGACCCCUGCAGCUUCAAUAAAUAGUUGGUAUAUACUCAUUUAAAAAUUCUUUGGUACAUCAGUGUGAAUUGCAUGCCAAACAAAAUUAUAAUGUAAUAAACCAAAAAACAAAAAAAGAGUAAUUAAAAAAAGUAAGGCCCCAGUAGGUGUUGUUGCCUUUAUUUUAUUAUUAUUUAAAUAAAAUUUUUACAUAAAAAUAGGGUAAGAGGAAAUGAUGGAUUGUUUAGAAAAAUAAAAAAUCGGAAGUAAUUUAUUUUGCUUUCAAAAUAUUUUAGAGGAGUUGUAAUCUAUUAUUUGACCAAAUGCAAUAAGAAGGGAAAAAAAAAGUCUUUCUGUCGAUGUAUCAAAUUAUAUUGUCACGUCCCGGAUUACACGUUUUUCGGGCACGCCGACAAAUCCGCCGUAUACAAAGAAAUUUUUCCUGUAUACGAAACGAUGGCUGUACCUGUAAAUCAUACAAUACUACAAAAAGUAGUAUAGAGCUGCUAGAAGAACCAGAAAUAAAACAAACCGAGUUCCAUAUACAUAUGCCAAAUCCAAGAUACAAAACUACUCGCACUGGUUAAGUAAAAGUAUGUACAUGAACUCCAACAAAAACAACUAUCUGCUGUAGGGGCACCUCUAGCUCGGCUCGUCAGGUAGGGCUCUAACUCGCGAUGCACUUGCCUCAGUCCUGAUCAGCAACAGCAGCAGCCGAAGACGAAGGCUCUGCAAAAACGAGGUAACAAUAGGGCGUGAGAACUACUGUAAAAUAAGUAGUCCUCAGUAGGUGCCGCCCUCAACAUCAUCCCACUAAGUCUACAGAAGGGAGUAAAGGUAGUAAUAAAUGCCAGAAUAAAAUCUACAGCUACCAUUUAUUAUUCUAUCAUGCUCUAAGCUAAGCUACUAUAGAAAUGUCAAGUCUGAUCCAAUCUCUUUAGGGACUGUAAACAUACCCAUCCCAGGGACUGUGAACACACCCGUCCCGCCCAGUUGAAACUAUCCAGCUAACUCCACACUAACCAGUCCGUGGAGAGCAAGUCUAACUGGCAUACACGACACCAACGCAAAAGCACAGCGCCCGCUUCCGAAGUGGCACUCGUGGGAGCUACCCAACCGAGUAUGCAGCGUAUCUCUGUUGAGCUCAAUCAGGCUCUCUUAAGCCAAAGUCCAAGUAACCAGCACUAACUGGUCAAACGACUCACAGUCACGUGCCCUUGGCAUAAUCCGACGCCAAAAAGGCGAUAUGGGUCCACCGUCAACCCCGACGGCACCCAACUAUCCGAAACAGCCUGAACGCUACUGUAAAAAUAUACUCGGCAUCCCGUACGAGUGUAACUGAAAGCUAAACUAUCUGGGGUAUCCGCCGCCUCGAUACUGCGACGAUACAAAUACAACGGCUCCUAGAGCUAAAUUAGGUAGUGUAAACAGGUGACAGGUCCAAAUCGCUGGUUUUCUCCCAAGUCAAAUUCCAAGUCCAACACGUAUAAAUUACUUAAUUUAUUAUCACAUGCUCCAAAUUCAGAUUUACAAUUCACAUAAUAAUCUAUGAAUUCGAGCUAAAGUAAACUAUACAAAAUCUGAAAUUUACACAUGUUGACUACUAAGCACUUAGGAGUAUAAGCCGAUGAUUAACCCACCUUAGUCGCUAAUCCCCGGCAGCGAGGAAGUCCGGACACAAGGGAAUACCCUGUUGGAUCAACCGAAAACCUCCAAAGGCCAAAAGUCAGGCUCCCGCCAAACUCUACACGUAGAAUCCGACAAUAAGAAUCAAUUCUGCCUCAAAAACAGCAGCAGAAAAGACUAUAAUUCUGACCCAGCAAACCGUCACCAAAUUCAGAAAAUAAGGGCUUCGUGGAUUUCUCUUGAAAUCCUGAAUCCAACGAACCAAAUCUCGUCAAAAUCCGACGCUCCUACAUCGAGUACGAGCCGAAACGCCAACGAUCGACGCUGAAAAUCUGCAAAACAACAUCCUUGAGCUCGGAAGUGAUGAAGGCUUGCCAUGGUUGGAGGAAUUGAUGAACAUCUCACCUCAACAGCGAUUCUAGCACCGGCGCGAUGUCAAGAACGGCGAAAACGCACCCUCGCCCGGCCUCCUCGCGAUGCAACGGCAACAAACGCGCGCUCGAACGGCUCCGCGGCGCGACGUCGGCGACGGAACAACUCCACCCAAGCUCCUCCACCACGCUCGAUCACGCACAAGGAGAGGAGAGAGAGAGUGCUGAAGUCCUUUCCUCUCUGCUCUCUCUAUCCUAUAUAGGAGGGAGAAGGAGUGGAUGAAAACAAGGAGGGAAGGAAAGACCAAAAAGCUCCUCACCUAACCUGGCGUACCGGUACACGGGCCCACGUACCGGUACUAGAAGCCAACCCGAGAGCAGUCUGCGCGCAGCCUGUGCAGUGUACCGGUACACCGUGAUGGCUGUUCCGGUACAGCAAGCAGAAAAAAAGCUAUUUGCAGAUUUUUCUUGCUAAAUGCUGCUCUCGCGUCGCACAGAGUCCGUUUUGCGUCUAUUUCAUGCCAACGCGACUCAGACUUGUCCCGACACUCUCCAGAGCUGUUGACAAGUCUUCACUGCGUACACCAGGGGUCUUACAUCCUCCCCCACUACAAAAUAUUUCAUCCUCGAAACUUAAUCAUACCUCAGCUCAGGGCAUCGAACAGAUAGGGAUAGGACUCCCUCAUCACCGUCUCAGGCUCCCAAGUCGCUUCCCGCUCCUCGUGAUUACUCCACUGCACCUUUACAUACGGGAUGACUCGAUUGCGCAAUUCUUUCGUCUCCCAAGCAAGAAUCCGCAAUGGUCGCUCCUCGUAACUCAGAUCCUCGCCAAUCUCGAGUGGAGUGAAGUCAAUCACGUGAGAAGGAUCGAAAACAUAUCUCCUCAAUGUCGAGACGUGGAAGACAUCGUGAAUGCCAGCUAGUCGCGGGGGUAGAGCGAUCCUGUAUGCAACUGGUCCCACUCGCUCCAAUACCUCAAAAGGGCCAACGAAACGUGGACUAAGCUUUCCACGUACUCCAAAUCGGCGAAUCCCUUUGGACGGCGAGACUUUGAGGAAUACAUGAUCUCCAACCUGAAACUCUAAGUCUCGUCUCCUGGUAUCAGCGUAGCUCCUCUGGCGGCUCUGGGCUGUCAAAAGGUGUCGUCAAACAACUCUCACCUUUUCCUCAGCCUCCAGCAAAAUCUCAGGCCCAAGCGUUUUCCUUUCACCCACAUCACUCCAAUACAAAGGGGAUCGACAUCUGCGUCCAUACAACGCCUCAAACGGAGCCAUCUGGAUGCUCACUUGAUAGCUGUUGUUGUACGCAAACUCAGCCAGUCUCAAAUGUCGAUACCACCCACCUCCAAAGUCCAGGACGCAUGCUCUCAGCAUAUCCUCAAGAGUCUGAAUGGUCCGCUCUGACUAACCAUCUGUCUGUGGGUGAAACGCCGUGCUGAACUGCAGCUGUGUACCCAAGGCUGUUUGCAAACUCCUCCAGAAGUGUAAUACAAACCUCGGAUCCCUAUCAGAUACGAUCGAAAUCGGCACCCCAUGCAGCCUAACAAUCUCAUCCAGAUAUAGCUGCGCAAGUCUCUCUCUAGACCAGGUGGUCUGAACCGGUAAAAAGUGAGCAGACUUAGUCAGUCUGUCCACUAUCACCCAAAUCGCAUCGUAGCCACCCUGCGCUCUAGGCAAUCCCACGCCGAACUCCAUAGUGAUCUGCUCCCAUUUCCACUCGGGCACUGGCAGACUCUGAAGCUUGCCAGCAGGUACCUGAUGCUCGACCUUUACCUGUUGACAAGUCAGACACUAAGCCACAAAUCUGCCAAUGUCCCUCUUCAUUCCAUUCCAUCAAAACUGAGCCUUCAAGUCCUUAUAUAUCUUGGUUCCACCUGGGUGAACCGUAUAAGGAGAACAGUGAGCCUCUCUCAAAAUAUCCUCUCGGAUCCCUGAAUCCGCAGGUACACACAGUCGGUCCCUAUACCGCAGUACUCCUGAACUGUCCACAGAAAAGCCCUCAGCGUGUCCUCGGUCUAGAUGCUCUCGAAUCCUCAAUAAGUACGGAUCUCCACUCUGUUUCUCUCGGAUCCUAUCCAACAGAGUGGGCUGCAAGACCAGAGACAUCAGUCUUGCAAUAGACCCAGGGGACACUAUCUCGAGCCUCAACCGCUGUAGCUCCUCGAGUAACGGCCUCUGCCGUGUGAUCAUCAAACUCAGGCUCUGCACUGCCUGCCACCACGUUCGCCUUACCGGGAUGAUACUGAAUACCAAUGUCAUAGUCCUUCAGUAACUCCAACCACCGGCACUGCCUCAUAUUCAACUCCUUUUGGGUAAACAGAUACUUGAAACUUUUAUGAUCAGUAAAAAUCUCGCAGUGCUCGCCGUACAACUAAUGCCGCCACAAUUUUAAAGCAAAGACAACCGCGGCAAGCUCCAAGUCAUGCGUAGGGUAAUUCUUCUCAUAAUUUUUUAACUGUCGUGAAGCAUAAGCAAUUACCCUACCAUACUGCACAGCACACAGCCCAGACCACUGUGCGAUGCAUCACUGUAGAUCACAAAUCCUUCCCCCAUCACAGGAAGGGCAAGGAUAGGAGCUGAUGUCAACCUCUGUCUCAACUCAUCAAAGCUCCUCUGACAAUCCUCACUCCAGAUGAAUCUAAUCCCCUUGCGCGUCAAUCGAGUGAGGGGUGUGAAAAGCUUCGCAAAGCCUUCCACAAACCGACGGUAAUAUCCUGCUAGUCCAAGGAAGCUCCUCACCUCUGUCACCGUCGUCGGUCUGGGCCAAUCCCGAAUCGCAUCAAUCUUCUUCGGGUCGACUUCUACUCCCUCUGCUGAUAUCACGUGACUCAAGAAAGCGACCUCCCGUAACCAGAACUCGCACUUCUUUAACUUGGCAAACAACUUCUUCUCUCUCAGAAGCUGUAGCACAGUCCUCAAGUGCUCCUCGUGCUCAACAUCGCUCCGGAAGUAUAUCAAGAUAUCAUCUAUGAAGACUACCACAAAUCUAUCCAAGAACGGCUUGAACACUCUGUUCAUCAAAUCCAUGAAUGCGGCAGGGGCAUUCGUCAAUCCAAAAGGCAUCACUGUAAACUCAUAAUGCCCGUACCGAGUUCGAAAAACGGUCUUGGGAACGUCCUCGGCCCUCACCCUCAGCUGGUGGUAACCGGACUGGAGAUCAAUCUUCGAGAAGACACAAGAUUCUUACAGCUGAUCAAACAGGUCAUCUAUGCGCGGCAAAGGAUACUUGUUCUUGAUGGUCACCUUAUUCAGCUCCCGGUAAUCUACGCACAACCUGAGCGAACCAUCCUUCUUCUUUACAAAUAAUACCGGCGCUUCCCAAGGCGAAACACUGGGUCUUACAUGCCCCUUAUCUAUCAGAUCCUAAAGCUGCGCCUUUAGCUCUCUCAGCUCCGCCGGUGCCAUCCGAUAAAGUACCUUUGAGAUUGGUGCAGUUUCAGGAACUACAUCAAUCACAAACUCAAUCUCCCUCUCCGGCGGCAUCGUCGUCAACUCAGGGGGAAACACAUCUGGAAACUCACGGACCACAGGAAUAUCCUCCGGUUCCGACGCCGCCGUAGGUACCUCAACAACAGUAGCCAGAAAGGCAACACAUCCUCUACUCAUCAGCUGUCGAGCCCUCGCCGAAGAUAUCCAAGUGGCAAGCAGUGUACUCCUGCAGCCUCUACAAGUAAACUCCUCCUGGCCUGACUCGCGGAACGUCACUGUCCUCUCUCCACAAUCGAUAGUAGCAUAGUACCGCGCCAGCCAAUCCAUACCAAGCACGACGUCAAAGUCCUGCAGCUGCUCUAACACCAACAGGUCUGCGGGCAUGAUCCACAAGUCCAACUGUACCGGACACGACCAACAACACUCUGCAACCUGUAAAACAUGGUCCGGGAUCUGCACCUCUCGUGUCUGUGAUAAAACUCCUAACUCUAGACCAUGCAACAAUGUAAAUGCUGGGCUAACAAAAGAAUGCGAGGCACCGGUAUCAAAAAGAGUACAAGCUCUAAUACCAGAAAUCAAAGUGAUACCUGCCACCACUCGGUCGGCUGCUAAAGAGUCCUCCACCUGUGCUGCAUAGACCCUGCCGCUCGGAGUCUGCUGUCGUCGCUCGCCCAGAUGCGGCAUAGACGAUCUGUCCUCCUGGCGAAAACUCGAAGCUGCUCCAAAAGAAGGCUGAGAUGCCGGCUGCGCUGAUGCAGUGGAUGGUGCUGGUGAUGCUGUAUGGGGGCAAGCUGACCUCAUAUGUCAGGGCUAACCGCAACCAUAACACCUGCGCUUUCUCUGCUCGCACUGCCGGGGCCAGUGUGGUCCCCCGCAGAUCACACACUGCGGUGUCCUCUGAGUCUGUCCCUGCUGACGGGAUCCCCUGGAACGUUGACGCUCCGAUGGCCUACGACCCUGAGAGCGUGAUCGUGGAGGCCUCGGCGGACGCCUGCUGCUCGACUGUUCAGCAUCAUCUAAAAAGGGGGCUUCCUGUCCUGACUCUGCCCCACAUAAUUUAUAUAUAUUGUCAAUGAAAAAUUUUAUUCAUUCAUUAAAAAGUUAAAAUAUUUAUCAUCUUACAUUAUAUAUGUAUAAAAAAAUUUUAUAUAUAUAUAUAUAUAGAGAGAGAGAGAGAGAGAGAGAGAGAGAGAGAGAGAAUUGAGCUGGAACACUAUUGAUAGUAUUUGCCUUUAUUUACUAUCAAGUUUUUUAUACUAUUGAUAGUAGAGGUGCAAUGCACGUCACACAAGAAAUAUAAAGUUUUAAAAAUAAUUUAAUUAUUUUUUUUGAUUUUUCAAAAGUUAAUUUAAUUUUUUGAUAGUCAAAACAAAAAAAUUAACCACCGGCCAACUCUCUCUCUCUAUAUAUAUAUGUAUUAAUUGUUUACGCUAUAAAUCGACAUUGAACGCGUAUUUAAGAAGUGUCCACAUCGAACACAUUUCCGACACUGACAUGCGUGUGUCCGAUAUAGACACGUGAGGCUUAUAGAAGUGUCCUGAUACAUAGUAUAUUAUUCUAUAUAAAUAUAUAAAAAUAUUCUAAAUAUAUUAAAUUGUUCAAUUUUUAUAGUUUUAUAUUUCGGAUUAUAAUAUAACUAUCAACAAAGUGAGGUAUAGAUAUAAUAUCCUCUCUCAGAUGAUAUAUUAAAAAUCAGACUCAUCAGCUAUAUUUAAAAAAAAUUAUACAUUAAAUAUUUAUUAGAUAAAAUCGUACAUAACUUAUUUGAGCUAUGAAAUAUUUCGAAUCGACUACCCAAUUUUUCUAAAUUUUACUUUCACUGCCAAAUCUUUCAAUUUAUUGGGUUUGAGUCAGUCAGCAGUAUUUUGACUUUAAAAUUUAAAUUUAAUUAUUUUAAUAAAUUUAUAGUUGCAAGAAUUAUAUGAAGUAAUAUACUAAUUAUAUCUGUAAGAAUAAGCAACAUAUUCAAAUUUAAAAUCAAGGUGCUGUUAACUAGCUCAAGUCAAAUAAAUUGAAAAGAUGGAUAUAUAAUGAGAUCAACAUUUUAAAAGGUUUAGUAGCCAAUUCAAAAUAGCUUAUAAUUCCGAUAAAUUUUAUACAUUUUAAUUUAAUUUAUUAAAUAUAUAAUUAUUAAAUGUCCUUUUAUUAGGUACUAGAAAAGGAAUAUAUGAUUGGGCACUUCAAGAUUUGUGGAGGGACAUAAUCAAGUGGUGACAACCUAGCAAUGUGAGACCCCUGCAGCUUCAAUAAAUAGUUGGUAUAUACUCAUUUAAAAAUUCUUUGGUACAUCAGUGUGAAUUGCAUGCCAAACAAAAUUAUAAUGUAAUAAACCAAAAAACAAAAAGAGUAAUUAAAAAAAAGUAAGGCCCCAGUAGUUGUUGUUGCCUUUAUUUUAUUAUUAUUUAAAUAAAAUUUUUACAUAAAAAUAGUGUAAGAGGAAAUGAUGGAUUGUUUAGAAAAAUAAAAAAUUGGAAGUAAUUUAUUUUGCUUUCAAAAUAUUUUAGAGGAGUUGUAAUCUAUUAUUUGACCAAAUGCAAUAAGAAGGAAAAAAAAAAAAAAAGUCUUUCUGUAGAUGUAUCAAAUUAUACAAAUUAAUAUUUUAAAAAGUAAAUACAGAUGCCAAAAGAGGCCUUUUUUUUUUUGAAAAAACUUCAAAUGCCACCCAUGUGAUUUCGUACUUUUUUAUUUUAAUACCUUGUGACUUAAAGUUUAUCAAUUUAGUACCCCAUGGUUUUAUUUUUGUCUUUUUAUUUGUUACUCUACUCUUUUUUUUUCGUUAAAUCAGUGAUAAAUUUAAAACUAAAAUUAUUAAAGUGAAUAUGUGAUAAACUUGGUGGAAUAUCUGAAGUUUUUUAUAUAUAAUUUAAUAAAAUGUUAACAAAUGAUCUAACGAAAAGAGAAAAAUGAAACCACAAUUUACUAAAUUGAUACACUUUAAACCACAUAGGUGGUAUUUGAAGUUUAUCCUUUUUUCACUUAUUUAAUCUUUAAGAUCAUUACUGUUGUAAAUUUCGCUUGCAUAUAAAUUUUUUGAUGGUCCUAUCGGGCGACAAACACGCAAUUUUAUAUUGGGUGUGAAAAAGAUUAUUUGUAGCUGUACAAGGAUUAACCUUUCUAGUAUUAAUAACUUGGGUUUACGGUUUAAAGUGAGAAAUGAAAUAAUUUGAGCUUAUGCUCGUAAUGUAAAAAAGAUAAAAUUAAAACUACAAAGAUAAAAUCAAAACUACAAAAUAAUGUAAAAAAGAUGACGACUCAGAAACUUUCUUCAAAUUAUCUAAAAGGUUAAGAACAUUAUUCUAAAUUUUGCCGAUCCUGAGAAGGAAAAAAAAGUAAUUAUGAGAGGUUUAUUCUGCAAAAUGACAUAUAAUGUUUAUACUCUUGAAAACGACAGUGUCCAAUGUGUCCCCAAAUCAAGAAAAUAAUAAUCUCUCCAUUAUAUCUCCUAAUCAAAAAGAAAUUAAUAAGUUCUCCUUAUACUGUUAAAAAUAAGAGUCUUAUAUCCAAUAUAAAUUUAAACUUUAAUCUGUAUAUAAUGAGUGUAUCUCUACUUAAUAUUGCAUAAAUUUUUUUGGUAGAACUUAGAGCUUUUGUGUUAGGCCUGAGCCUUGUCUAAAUUCGCAAUAUAUUUAUUUGAGACCCUAAAAUCAAAAAAAACAAAAGAAUAAUUUUCAUAAAUUAAGAGUUACAAAGAAUAAAUAAAUAAACAAAAAUAUGAAGUACAUUUAUUCACAAAAAUCAGAUCAGAGGUCCAUCACUAUGAUUUGCUGAGAAUAAUUUUAGAAGGUUAUAUUCUAGCUUAUUCUAAUGCAAAAAAAAGAAAAAAAAAAGGGAAAAAAAAAGUACCAAAACAUCUCAAAUAUUUUUAAAUAAAAAUUUUGAUAAAUUCAAUUAAUGGUGAUUAUUUUAAAUUCAACUCUUCUAUAUGCUUUUUGAGCUGAUGAAGUACAGGCACUAAUAUUGAUACUGAACAGAGUCAUUAAUUUUAACUAAUAACAUAGUUACUAAUUUUAGCAAAAUCUUUAUUUGAGUAAGAAAAUAGUUCAAACCAAAGUAACUAAAAGUUGAGAGGGGGCAUCAAGCCGAAGAAAAAUAGUUGAGGGGCCUAAUUCAAAAUAGGACCCCAUAGUUCCCAUGCAUCACCUUGUUCUAGUUUCACUGUAAUUUGGUAGAGAGAGAGAGAGAUCUCCAAAGGGGCUUAGGUUGGGCUAAGAUUGGGCUUAAAUUGGCCCUGUUGUUGGAUUCCACUAACCAAAUUUGGCCUAAUGGCUAAAUUACAUUGAUGGCCCUCAAACUAUUAGGUGAUGACAUUUCAGUGAACUUUAAUUUGUUAAUUGUUAAAUGUUGUGGCUUCAAUUUUGUAAAUUAUUACAAUUAAGUUUAGCAAUCCAAUUAAAUUGGCUAGAUAUUGAAAAUGCCGUUGAUGUGGCAAUGAUGUGGUAUCCUAGUUAUUAUCACAUCAUCCAUCAUCAACUAUAGGACAGUCAUAUCACUACCACAUCAGCAGCAAGUCACUAUUCAGUCUAAAAGAUUGUAUUAUAUAGGACUUGAUUGCAACAAUCUAAAAAGUUUGAGUUAAAAAUUAUAAUUUAACUUAUAUGUUUGAAGACCAAAAGUGUAAGGUAGUCGAUGCCCAAUUCCCAAACUAUGAUAUGCUUUGGCCUUGAAGUGUAAUUUUUGAAAGGAUUAAGGGAAAUUUGAUAUGAAAUCUCCUCAGCCAUAGUUAGGGUUGUAAAACAGGCCAGGAAACCCUUGCGUCGGCCUAGUCCGGCCCGGCACGGCCUGCAUCCAUGGGCUGGAACUUGUUUGUCCAUAGCUCGGCACGUACGGGUGUUAACGGGUCAGAUUUAAGGUGGAUAUUUGAAUACCCAAACCAGAAUCCGACAUCCAAAAUUGAAAUCCAAAUUCGACUCUGAACCUGUUAGAUUUUGAAAACUCAUAUUCAAGUCCAAACCCGCCCAAAAAUCCAAAAUUGGAAUCCAAACCUGAAAACCCGAACUCAAAAACAAUUUUUACCAAAUUUCAAAACGUAAUAUACUAAAAUUUAAUCCCAAGCUUUUCACUGCUUUUUUUUGUUCUUAUUCUUUCUUUUGCAAUCAAGUUUUUAAAUUUCUUGAUUUCAUCGCAAUAAAAUUGACACUGUUAAAAGAGGAUUUAGAUUUUAACGAUAUUACCAUGCCAUCGCCUAUUUAGAUUUUUUUUUUGCAUGUCAAUUUUGGUCUCUAAACUUUAUUUUUCACUUUAGUCCCCAAAAUAAAAUUUUAAAAUUUUGAAUUUAAAUCCAAAUUUUAUUUUAAAAUUAAUCCAAAAAUUUAUGAGUAAAAAAAAAAGUCUAUACUCAUAAAAAUAUAACAGUUAAACUAUGUAUUAUAGUAAUAUUUUUUCGCCGCAUCACGCGCAAACCCUUAACUAGUUACCAAUAUGCAUCCGCUGUAAAUAUGAACGUAGAGCGCUUUCUAAUUAGUACCCGGUCAUUUUCAUCUCAAACCUCAACCAAGCGUGAUAGGGACUGAUUAGGGACUAGAGAGCAAUUUAACACCAAACAAUGAAAUAUAUUCAUAUUAAUUUAACAUGUGUCCAUUAAUGGGAUGCUUUUUGGAUUUAAUGCAUUUAAUAAAGCAGUUGAGCAAUUACGCUAUCACGACUUUAAAUUUGUCCACCUACCCCGAAGCUGCAGAAUUUACUAUUUUAUUAGUUGUGUAUUCUCUUAAUAAUUUCGUAUUAUAAUUUGCUGGAUAUUUAAAAAACUUAAGACUCGUAGUGUCUCGUCAAUCAGAAAUUUUUCUUUGUAAAUUUAUAAGAGAAAUAUUUCAAUGCACCAGCCGAUUUAAAUUUGACCAUUCAAAUUUUUGAGGUUAAGAUUGACUUUUAUAAUAGUAACUUUCUCAGCAGGUUACCAAUCAAUCGUAAAAAUAAUAUUUGAAAAUAUUUAUUAGUUAAUUACCAAAUUUGAUAAUAUCGGACAAAUGUUCAUUUCCUAAUUUAAUUUUGUUACUAACUAAAUUAGAUAAUGGCUAAAUUUGAUAGGUGAUAAAUCUUCAUAAAUUCGAAUUUAAAAUUAAACUUGAGUUUAAACUUUAUAUUUGUAAUUGUAUAAAUUAAAUUUAAAUUUUAGAAAGAAAAAUUUAUAUUUAAAUGAGUAAACAUUUCAAUUCAAAUUGUCAAUUCAAUAUUAAACUAACAUGAAGGUUCAAAAAUGUUAAUCUCUUUAAAAUUGUAAUUUAAUUUAUAGUGUAUUUAUAAACUUUUAUUAUUUAUUUAAAUAAAAGAUUUCUAUAUUUUAAAGUAAGUUGAAAUCGUUAACUCAAUAUUGAAAAACAACAUUAAAUUUCAAAAAUAUUGAUCAAAUUUAAAUUAUAAAUUUAGAUUUAAUUUAUAUUAUAGUUAAAAAAAUAAAUUUUGUUAACUAUUUAAACAUAGAGUUUCGAUGUUUGAAAAUUAAUUUUAAAUUACAAAUUACUAAAUUUAUGACUCAAUGUCAUCAUAAAUUAUUAUUAAAAUCAGUCUUCAAAAUGGGUAAUCCAAUUAAAAACUCAUUCUCUCCCCGAUUCAAGGGUAGUAUGCAAAACUUUCCAAUAUUAGUUAUUUAACUUCUUAAUAUUAGCUCUUUCGUUUUUCCAAAAAACUCUAGUUUCACAUACCUGGUGACCGAUACUGCUUGUGCGAUAGCAGGUCAUUUUUUUUUAUGCAUAAAUCUUAAUCCUUUAUUUCUUUAAAAAUAAGCGGUUAAAAUUUAAAACAGAGUAUUAAAACAUUGCUCAAUUUAUAAUUGUAUAAAUAAAUUUAUAAUUGGUAUAAGGUAUACUUUAUAUUUGUAACCAAUUAAAAAAAUAAAUUUUGUUAAACAAUUAAUUUAAAACAUAGAGUUUCGAUGUUGAAAAUUAAUUUUAAAUUACAAGUUUACUCAAAUUUAUGACUCAACUCACAUAAAUUAUUAUUAAAAUCAGUCUCAAAAGGUAAUUCCAAUAAAAACUCAUUCUCUCCCCGAUUCAAGGUAGUAAUUCAAAACUUUCCACUGAUGUAUUAUUAUUAACUUUAAUAUUAGCUCUUUAUCGUUUUUAAAAACUCUAGUUCGCUAUACCUGUGACCGAUACUGGCUGUGCGAUAGCAGGUCAUUUUUUUUUAUGGCAUAAAAUCUUAAUCCUUUAUUUCUUUAAUAAUAAGCGGGUUAAAAUUUUAGAAGCAUGAGUAUUGAAACAUUGGCUCAAUUUAAAAUUAUACAUUUAAAUUUAUAAUUGUAAUAAUUGUAUAAAUUUAUAAUUGUAAAUAAACCAAUUAAAAACUGCAUUCUCCUCUCUCUCGAUCAAGGGUAGUAUGGCAAAACUUUUCAAUAUUAGUUAUUUAACUUCUUAAUAUUAGCUCUUUCGUUUUUUCCAAAAAAAAUCUCUUUGUAGUUCUCAACAAUACCUGUAACUCGAUACUGCUUGUGCGUAGCGGGUCAUCUGUUUUGUUAUGGCAUAAUCUUAAUCCUUUAUUUCUUAAAAAAUAAGCGGGCUAAAAUUAGAAACAGAAUAUUGAAACAUUGCUCAAUUUAAUAUACAGGAAUAUAUCUCCAAUCAGUCAUAAUUGUAGCCAAUUGAAUGAAAAGAGUCCAAUCAAAAAUUAAUUCAAAUUACACAUUAACGUGAUUCUUAAAAAUACAAAAAAAAAAGAGUAAAAUUUAUACUUCUAAUGCAAUGUGGGGAGCAUUUGACAAGGAUAUUUGCAAAAAUCUUUAUGUGAAAAAAACUGGCAGAGUUUCCUCCUCCUAGGAAUGCACAACGGGGCGGAUCGGGGCGAAAGCCCGCGCCCGCCUCCCGUCCCGAUCAGUGGAUCGGGUUAAACAAUACAUCCCAUAAUCUUCAUCCCACGUCUCGUAAACUCCGUCCUCCGCCGGCGCCUCAUACCGCCGCCGCAACAAUAAUAUUUUUAUAAAAUUAUAAUAUUAUUAAUAUUUUAUAAAAAUAUUAAAUUCAAUCAAUUUUUAAUAAUAUUAUAUAUAUUAUAAUCAUCAUUAUAAAAAUAAAAAUUAUCAAUCACAAAUUCAAAUAAAAUUCAAAAGUUUCAAAAAAUUAGAUGAGAGUACUAACUUUAUUUAUUUUUGAACUUUUUGUAAUAUAUAUUAUUUUUAAGAUAUUUGUUUCAAAAUAUAAAUAAUUUCGGGCGAAUGUCUGGGCGGAUUCAUGAUCAAAAUUUUUUCUGUUUCCUACCCUGAAUCCGUCUCAGAUCGUAACCCCGUUUCCCGCCCAGAAUCCGUUUAUUUUCCCUCAUUUACUGCCCCGUCGGAACGGAUUGGGGCGGGAGCUCUACCAACCCGGAUCCGUUUGCAUACCUACCUCCUCCUCAAGAGCAACAGAAAAUAUUAAUGAAACCAGCCACAUCUUUAAUUAAUGCAUAUUUCUAUGGAAAGUUACAUCUAACAAAACUAAUAAAUAUUUUGACGUGUUGGCAGUUGGGAGCGUUGAAUCUUUUCUUUAACUUUAAUAGGAAUAGAAACAUAAUAUGUAUGCAUUGAAUCUUAGGUGCAUUAUUUACAUCUCUUAAACUCUUCUUACAGUUUGACGGCUAUUCCGCUCGAAGAGUAACAGAAAAUAUCAAUGAAACCAAUGUCAAAUCUUCAAUUAAUGCAUAUUUCCAUGUGAAAUUACAUCUAACAAACUGACAAAUACUCAGACAUGUUGGGAACAGUGAAUCUUUUCUUAAAGCGGGACCAGUAAACAGAAAGUAGCUGGGAAAGAUAAUUUCACAUGAUAUCUGCUUCUUUCAAAAGCACUUGUUACAGAAAUAAUUGACCAAGUCUUAAUAGCAAGAGAUGUUCACUGCUUCUGCUGCUGCUGCUGCUGCUGCUGCUGCUCUAUAAAUUAUAAGCCACAUAUAUAAUCUGCAAGUCAUUACAACUUCUCUUAUGGCUGGUACCAGCAUGAAGCUGCUCCAUGACUUCAUUUUCCUCCUAAUUUUCUCUCUCUUUUCAUUCCCCAAACUCAAUAUCUCUGCUGCAGCUACUGACACACUUUUCAGAGGCCAAACUCUCUCUGGAGAUCAAACCCUUGUCUCCAGAUAUGGCAACUUCGAGCUGGGCUUCUUCUCCCCAGGUAACUCGCACAGAUACUACUUAGCCAUCUGGUACAAGAAAGUCUCUGUAAGAACUACAGCUUGGGUAGCAAACAGAGAUAAGCCCCUCUCCAACCCCUCAUCCUCGCUUCUAAAGCUGACCACAACUGGCAAGCUUGUCCUUCUCCAAACAGCACCCAACACGACCGUAAUCUGGUCCUCCGAGUCCGCUUCCUCCGCUGCGAUUGCGGUGCUCGGCGACGACGGAAAUCUUGUCGUAAAAGAUGGUAAUUCAAGCUCCCAAACAACAUACUGGCAGAGCUUUGACCACCCUACAAACACCUAUCUCCCUGGAGCCAAGCUUGGCUAUGAUAAGUUCGCGGGAAUAAAUCGGUUCCUGACUUCUUGGAGAAGCUCAGAUGAUCCCUCCCCCGGGCUUUUCUCUUUCGAGAUAAACCCGCGCGGCGUCAGCCAAUUCUUCCUCUACUCAAACAGGACUCAUGAGUACUUCACCACAGGUGUCUGGAAUGGGAAAAUCUUCAGUGGAGUCCCCGAGAUGAGAUCCAAUUACUUCUUCAACUUCAAUUACGUCGCGAACGCCAACGUUAACUACUUCAGUUUCGCGGUUCGCGACAAGUCGGCGAUAACCAACUUCAUGUUGGAUUAUGAUGGCCAAAUGAAGAGGUCGCAGUGGGAUAACAACACAAAGCAGUGGGUCCUUUAUGGUGUUCUUCCAAGGAAUCCGUGUGAUGUUUACGGCAUAUGCGGGCCUUUUAGUAGCUGCAGCAGCACCACCUCUCCUUUUUGCCAAUGUCUACGGGGCUUCAAGCCGCGGCUUCUCGAAGAGUGGAACUCCGGUGGCGCCUCUUCUGGAUGUUCACGAAGAACUUCUCUGAGCUGCGACGAGAACGACGACUUCGACAUGUUGUUUGGUGUGCAGAUGCCUACUAAUCCUCAUCAGUUAGUCGCAGCCGUUCGUAGCGCGAAGCAGUGUGGACAAACCUGCUUAAAAAAUUGUUCUUGCACUGCAUACUCUUUCAAUAGUGGUUGUGUGCUGUGGUUUGGAGAUCUUUUGAACUUAAAGAGAUUUUCCGCUACUGCGAAAAGCAAUAGUGCAACUCUCUAUAUUCGGCUCGCUGCUUCCGAGCUGCGAAGGCCGAAAGAGGAAUGGAAGAUGUAUAAGAUAGUAGUUGUAGUUCUCACAAUUGCCGCAUUUGCUGUUAUUGCUUGCAUUUUGUUAGCAUGUGCUUUCCGCAAAAGGAAAGCAGUAGGAACUGGAAAGCAAAUCAGUGGUUCCUUGCUGCUGUUUGAUUACCGAACUAUAAAGAGGGCGACUUCGGGCUUCUCGCAGAAGCUCGGGAGCGGAAGCUUCGGGGCCGUCUUCAAAGGAGUACUGCAAGACGGAACUGUCGUGGCCGUGAAAAAGCUCGAGGGCUUCAGGCAAGGCGAAAAGCAGUUUAGGAUGGAAGUGAGCACUCUCGGAAUGAUCCAACACGUCAAUCUAGUCCGGCUUCGCGGGUUUUGCUCAGAGUCGGAUAAAAGACUUCUCAUCUACGACUGCAUGCCAAACGGUUCUUUAGAUUUGUAUCUCUUCGGAAGAAAUGAUGGCUCAGAAACCUUAACUUGGAAUCAGAGAUUCAACAUUGCUAUCGGGAUCGCGCGGGGAUUAGCUUAUCUGCAUGAGAAAUGUAGGGAGUGCAUAAUACAUUGCGACAUAAAACCGGAGAACAUACUUCUCGAUACGAACCUUUGCCCUAAGGUCGCGGAUUUUGGUAUGGCAAAGCUUAUCGGUCGUGAAUUCAGCCGUGUACUGACAUCCAUGAGGGGGACUUUUGGGUACCUCGCUCCGGAAUGGAUCGCGGGGUCGGCCAUCACUCCGAAAGCCGAUGUUUAUAGCUUCGGAUUGUUACUACUUGAGAUAGUUUCUGGAAAGCGGAACAGUAACAUGAAUGAUGAUGGAGAAUGUGUGUAUUUUCCUCUGCUGGUUGCGACUAAAUUGUACGAAAGCGAUGUGCUUUGCUUGCUAGAUGAGCAGCUGAAGGGGGAAGCAAAUUUGGAGGAGCUUGAAAGGGCUUGCAGGGUGGCCUGCUGGUGCAUUCAGGACCACGAGUUGUGGAGGCCAACGUCCCGCCGAUCCCGAAGUUACUCCAAACACUUGCGACGGAGUAAGAUCGGUGAUGAGAUAUCACUGUAAUUAGUAUAUACACUUUAGUUGUGAUUGUACACGCAAGAAUGUGUGGGUGAUGAAUAGGCUAAAUGUUAUGUAUUGCUGUUAAGUGUAAUUGUGCUUUUAUUAGCAAGAAUUGUGAAGAGUUCUUGUUUUAAUUGAUGUGAAGGUUGUCCUUAGUCCCAUAUUUGCAAUGCUACUUCUCAACUAAAUGCUGAGAUAGUUUCAACCAUACAGAGUUAUUUUUACAUGCUGAAUAGUUUAAAUUAAACCAAAGAUGUGAAUAGUUUAACAAAAAAAAUUAUGUUCUGGGCACAAUGAAGAUUAAAAACAAAAAAUAAAAAACCCAAAAAAAAAAAAAAAAAAACAAGUUGCAUUAGACCGGCCAAGAGACUUAAUCCAAAAGUGCUUUUACACAACCUUCACUAUGACCAUAAAAGGCCCUACUGUUGUCUUUAAGCCAAAUAAUACAAGUACUACUGGUUUAAAAGCAUCAGCAUCCUAUCCGGCAGCAUCCUAUCCGGUACCAGAAGAUCAAGUUAGGCCAAAUCAUAUUCGAAAUAAAGGAAGGCCAAAUUGAACCGACUCACGUUCGAACUGGUAUGAAGCUAGUUAGGCUGAAUAACAAGCGAAACCCAUUAAGUGUUUGUAUGCUUUAAGUCAAUUAGUUACAUAUUUUUAACGACUCAAAACUUUUGAGACUAAUGAUUAGUACCAACGAUCCGACAAGUUACAGCAUUCAAUUGAGCUAUAAUCAAGUAAAAUUUGGUUUUUUGAGAAGGAUAAUUUGGCGAUGUUUACGAAAGUAACUAUCAAUUCUUAAGAAUCUACACAAAAUGAGACAUUGAAGGGAGACUACAUAAAGGCAGUAAAUGAAAUGAAUGCAUCUUCAUUUUAGCACAACAUACACUGCUGGUUCUUGAAGCACCAAAGAAAUAAAAAAAACCCCAGUUCCAAUAAAUUAAAGAGCGCUUCACCCACAAGAUACAGAGACCAAAAUUGGGUGUGCAUAGCAACAAAAGGCCCUCUGCUUCAUUGAGAAAUAUUAAGCACAUCCAUCCUAUCACUAAGGCAUGUCAUUUCCAAUUUAAUUUCCUUCCAAAAGUAACACAACUUCUCAAUACACCGGAAAGACAAAAGAGAGGCGCGCACGCGCGCGCGAGAGCGAGAGAGAGAGACACAUCCUAACCUACAAGAAGAUCAUACUCAGAAGUAGCAGCCCCAUCAUUAUAACAAGCGAUGAGGGGUCGAAGGUAGUAUGAGGAGAGCCCGAUUGUGCUGCUGUGGAAUUGGAGGAAGGAGCCAACGAUGUGCCGUUCAACAUUGUGCCGUUCUUUCCGCCACUGCACAUUAAAACAGCAAAAGAACCAGAAAUAGCUAUGAGUUUAGUUAGCUAAGUUAAUAUGAUAGUGUUUAUACUGGAAGGAUUGCAUCAACUAACAAUUUCAAUUGCACAAACUUAAAAAAGUAGUAGUAAACUUAACAGGAGCUGCUUCUAUGUAAAAUUUCAUGUGAAAUUAGUAUUUUCACAUGUUAGAAUUUCGACUGCAUAGAGAUUUAUGAACAAUCUUCAUGCUGCCUAUAUAUUUUAAAUUAUUAUGAAUGCUUACACAAAGUUUCAGAUCGUUUUUUUAUUUCUUGAUUAGGGUUUUAACACAUAUUACUUAAUAAUCCAUCAGAGUAGAAGGAUUUGUACUCUAAUGAAUGAGACAGAGCACAUACCUUCCAGCAAAUAUGCAAGCACCAUGACCUGCGAAAAGAAAACCACCAACAUUUUGGUUUAUACGGAUUCAACAAAUUCAAGCAAUUUGACAAUGAGACUACAGCAAUCUCGGUUAAAAAAAAGAGAUAGUAUAUUUCGAAAUCAUCUCAUAUAAGCCUUACUUGGGUCAGUGGUGGUUAUGGCCGCAACCCCGUUGAAGUAGCAGGUGCCCGAACCCAUACCCAUCCCGUGAUAGUAUGCGUUGAACGCGUAGGUCGCAUGGGAUUCAACUGUGUCGGGGUCGUAACACGGCUGCCCCUGCAUCAUUGCAGAGCAGUCCACCUUCCCGGGUCCGCAUGCCCAGUCGAGCGCGGCCUGCAGCAUCUUGGCAUCUGCACCGUCCCGCGCAAUGCAGUACGUCUGGUUUGUCGUGUCGUUUGCCAGCAGCACACCCGACCCAGUUAGGUGUAGUGUGUACGCAGGCACACCGCUCGCGUCGAACAGCCCCCAGUACCUCUCCGACGUGGCCCCAGGGCGCUGGUCCUCAUCGUAAAGCUCAUAGAUGUAUGUGGGCACGGGCACUCCAGGGUGCUUCGGCGUGCCGGUGCUGUUGAGCACGUGCCGGAUGAGGUUGCUGUUGUAGGUGUCAGCGUUGUCAGGGGUAGCGUCGGGCUCGGUGGAUGGGUCGCCCUUGUGGGGCCACCCGGACUCGAGCACGACGACAGGCAAGUUCGUGACAUUCAAAUAGGCCAUGGCGAAGUAGGCGGCGUCGACAACCGCGUCAAACACAUUGGUGUAGUGGAGGAGGGUGUUGGCGUCGACGGCCUCCUUAUUGGGGGGGAGGGGGCGGAAGAGGGCAUAGUCGAGGGGGAUGACGCCGUUGGACUGCAUGUAGUCGUAGUAGGGGUAGACGUUGAGCAUGAGAUAGGAGUCGGUGGACUGUAGGAACUUGAGGAGGGGGACGAGGACGGGGUCGAGGGUGCGGUUGAAGAAGGCCUGAGAGGGUGGGAAGGAAUCGAGGAUGAUGGACGAGGAGUGCGGGGUGGAGACCUUGAUGUAGCGGUCGAGAUUGGCGGCGACGAGAGCGGAGUGGAUGUAGCGGAGGGCAGGGAUAAGGAGCGGGGCAGCAUUCGGAAGGGCGGAGAGGACCUCGGAGCCGACAGCGAUGGCAGAGAUGUUGACGGCAGGGAAGUGGGCGGCGACGUUACGGGCAACCCAGUUGGCCGCGGUGGCAUUGGACUGGCCCACGGCGAGGAGCUGCUCGUUGGGGACGGAGACGACGACACGGAUGCCGGAGUUGGCGAGGGCGGCCAGCAUGGCGGGGUCGACAUCAUAAAGGCGUACGUAGUGGAUCUGCUGCGACUUCAGCAGUGCCACCACCUGCGUCGGCGAUGGCAUUGACGACAGUGCCGUGCCAACAUUCACGCCGAUGUAUGCACCUGCAGCGAGGCAGACGGCGCGCGUCAGCACCACAGUUAAAUUAGGUUUGGAGCGAAAAUUCAAACUGAACUGGUUAAAAACCAGUUUGUAGUAAAAUCUCAAACAAAUACUGAUUCUCAGAAAACCAAAUCCAAACCACACAAAAAAAUAAAUAAAUAAAACAAAAUAAAGGUAGAAAUGUAUGGAGAACACCUGAAAAUUAAAAUAUAGGCGAUUUUGAGACAGGUGCAACAACUUUAUUUCAUUUGAUUGAUACCCCCUUCAAUCUUAGUGACCUUUUAAAACUAAUAAUUUAAAUCAAUUAAAUUCAAAAUUUUUAUCAAUUUUAUCCGGUGAUCAAAUUUAAUGAUUUUGAUCACCUAUUAGCAAAUAAAACUAAAAGAGCUACCACUAAUAGCAAAUAGUGCUAAGAAAAUUUUAAACUCAACUAAGAAUAACCCAAAUUUAAAAAAAAAUUAAAAAUUAAGAAAAUAUCAGUAAAAAGGGUUUAAGUUGAGGGGCAUAUUUCAUUAUCGCCUCUAGUUGAGGGUGUCACAGCACAUUUUUACCAAUUUAAACUCCAAGUUUAAUAGGAAAAAUGUGCAAAGACCCCAUGAACUUGGCUUCUGAAUGUUUAGUUUUGACAGUUAGACCCCCAUGCUUGAUCAAAUAGUUCAAUAGUCCUUGUCCUAAUUUGCAAUAACCAAUUACACAGCUAUUUUGAUCACACAUUUUGCACAUAAUCUUGUAAAAUUUAAAAGACAAAAAAAUAAUUUAAUUUUCUCUUUGAAUUAUGAUAAUCAAGCAUUAAGAUUGAAGAAUAUAGUGAAUCACUCUUCAAUUUUUAUUGUUUUUUCAUUUGUUGGAAUACGAAGAAUAGAUUUCUUUGUAUUUUCAAAUCUUUACAAAAUUAUAUGCAAGACAUGCGACCAAAAUAACUAUGUAAUAAAUAAUUUCACAAAAGAGGGCGGCCUAGUAAAGUAUUUAAUAAAAUUUAGAAGGUCCACUCGCCAACAAUCGAAAGUUUCGGCGCCAGUUGCAAAUAUGCAAAAGUUCAAGAAGUUUUCGCACUUUUUUUUCUAAAUUUAAUUUAAUUUAAAAAGGAAAAAAAUAUACAAAAACCUCCUAAACUUCAGCUCUUUCGCAAAUAGAUGCCUGAACUUUCAAUUUUGGCAACUAAACCACCUAAAAUUUAUUAAAUAGUUCGAUAGGCCCCUCUCUUCAAUUAGAAUUAUAAAUUAUACAACAGUUUUGGUCAUAUGUCUUGUAUACAAUCUUAUUAAAAUUCAAAAUAUUUAAUAAAUUAUUUUUUCUUUUCUAAUAUAUAAAAGAAGCAACAAAAAUUGAAGGCAGGUUUAUCCAAUUUUUCAAUCCUCAUGCUUAAUUAUUGAACUUGGGAAGAGAAAAAAUAUAUAUAUUCCUUCACAUCUGAAGGAAUAUAUAAAAUUAUCACAUGCGACCAAAAUGAAUGCAUAGUUAAUAACUUCGAUUAAGAAGAGAGACUUAGUGAACUAUUUUGAUGAAGUGCGAAAAGGUCUAAUCGCUAAAAUUGAAACUUCAAACGUCAAUUGCAAACGAGCUAAAGUUCAGGGAGUGUUUGUACUUUUUUCUCAUUUAAAAUUGAAAAAUUCUACUUGUACACCCCAAAAGGGGGCGUAGAUCUUACACCCCCAACCUAAGAUUCCCAAAAAGUCCAUUAAAAAAAAUAAUAAAGUUGAUACGAUAAGUAGAAAAUAAUGAUCUUUAGAUGAAGAGAGUGUAAGAUAUACACUCUACAUUAGGGUGUAUCAGUAGCAUUGCUCCUUAAAAUUCAAAGGCUAAAUUACACUUUUGGUCUUGAAACUAUGAGGUGUGUGGCACUUCGAUUCUCAAAACUUUCAUUUGUUACAAUUUUUUACUGAAACUUUAUAAUUAUUCCAAUCAAAUCCCACAAUCCAAUUAGUUUGAAAGUGAUAUGACAUUUUAAUCAUUAUCGAGUCAUCAAUCCCGAUUCUGCUACAUCACUUCCACAUUAGCCAUACAUAAACAUUUAGAUAGCUAAAUUAGAUGUACAAAAAAAAGAUUAAUUGCAUACAGCUCCCCUGUAAACCUAUAGAAUGGCAAAUAUAUCCCUACAAAGUUAAACUUUUUAUUUUUAUCCCUGCAAAAGUCCAGUGAUAUUUAUAUUUGCCCCUCUAGUUUGUUAACAUUAGAGCACUGUUUAUUUUUUAACAGCAGAUGAGUGAAAUGACAUUUUUGUCCUUAUAAAUAUAUCCCUCCAAAAGCCCAACUGUUAGAAUUAUGAAGAAAUGUCCUUCCAAAAAAGUAUUUUAUCCAAUAAUAUAAGAAGGAUAAAAACAUCAAUUUAACUCAGUCGCUAACCAAGGUUAAACAUUUUACUUAUGCUUAACUACAUUCUUCUAACGGAUCCUAACGGCAUGGGUAUAUUUGAAAACGUGAAAACUUUUGCAGGGAUAAAAAUAAAAAGUUAAACUUUGUAGGAAUAUAUAUAUCUACUAUUCGAUAUGUCUACAAAGAGCUGUAUGCAGUUAACCCUAGUAAAAGUAUCGAGCCAGAAACUACAACCGUCUAAAUUUGGAGGACUAAAAUGCCACACUAGUCAUAGUUGGAGGACUAAAUUAAAUUAAAUAUUACACAAGGCUGUCCCUACGGAACAGCGAAACAGCGCCAGCUGUCGCGCAACACGGCGGCCGGAGACAUGCUGGUACGGCGCGCAUGUUCGUACCAAGCGAGGGGUCCGCACGGAGACGACGUACCUAUACAUUUCCCUAUGCGACCAGGCGGGAAUCCGCAGUACGUUCAAAUGAUCCGCCGCUCAUUUUUACACACGAAAAGAAAUCGACGAUCCGACGGGUCCCGCAUAUAAAGUGGUUUAUGCGGUCACCCUCACCAGGUGGGGCCUCAACUGUACACAGAUCUCGAUCUCAAUCCCAAUUAAUUUGAUUCUACGGAGUUGGGAGAAAUUAUCGGCCGCACCUGGUGCAUCCGUACACCCGUUUUAUUUUUUAAUUAAUAUUUUCAGAUCUAUUUUGUUUGAUUAAUAAGAAAAGUAUAUAUAUAUAUAUAUAUAUAGAGAGAGAGAGAGAGAGAGAGAGAGAGAGAGAGUGAGUCUGGUUGAGAUACUAUCGAUAGCACCAAGUAUUUGGUGCUAUCAAAUUUUUCGCCGUUAGAUUUAAUCCUUUGACUAUUUUCACCCAUUAGAUUAUACUAAUAAACCAAUAACUCACUUAACCCUAGGGGGCCCACAUCAUCUUAACCGUACGUUUUUUAAUCUAAAGACCGAAAACCUGAUAGCACCAAACGCUUGAUACUAUUGAUAGUAUUCCAGCCUAGGUCUAUAUAUAUAUAUGAGUUCGGCUACUAUGCUAUUAAUAACACGAAACACUUGGUGCUACCAAAUUUUUCGCCGUUAGAUCUACCAUUUUGAUCAUUUUCACCCGUUAGAUCAUAUUAUUCAACCAACCACCUACUCAACACUAGCAAGCCCACAUCAUCCUAACCGCACAUCUCUUAAUCCAAUGGCCAAAAACUUGGUAGCACCAAUACUAGGUGCUAUUAAUACUAUAUUAGCCUAAUUCUAUAUAUAUAAUCAAAAUUAUAAGGUUUUACAUAAAUAUUUUAAAUUUUAUAAAAUACACCCAAUAGAUUAAUUUUUUUUUUAGCUAGAGUUAUUUUUGCAUUUAGCCCUCUCAAAAAAAAAAAUUUACAAAUAAUUUUAAUAAAUUUAUACUUGUAUAUUACAACCCUCUCUUUGCGACGCGAGUGCCAUAUUAGCAUUUUUAAGUUAAACAUGAUAAUUCAAACGCCAUGUUCAUAUCCACAUUCUAAUCUCGCUUUUUAAUCUAGAGACGUUAAAAAAUAUAAAAAGAAAUAUGAUGAUUGAAUCAUCGUGUUCAACAUAAAAAUACAAUCUAAAUGCUCACGUGAUAAGAAAAGAACUAUUUUACAAUUAUAAAUUUAUUAUGAUUAUUUGUAAAAAGAAAAUUGAGGGCCCUUAGCUAUCCGUGGCUCAAUUAUUCCUUUUACAUAAAAUUUUGCUUCUAUUUAAACCCUAUACUUUAGGGUCGUUUCAAAUUGGUCCAAUAAGGGCGAGAUAGUAAUAUUUUUUGAAAGGAGGUGGGACCCGUUGUGGGACCGUUAGUCAAAAUACAAAUCAGGUGAGUCAACUCGGACGAGUUACUAACCAUCAAAUGAGAGUACUUGCAAUUUGCGUUCCACGUCAUCAUGCACGUGGUGUAGAGGAACCAAAAGAAACGAAUUUUAUUUUACAAAAAAAAAUUAUUAAGGUAAGAAUAUAAAAUAUUAUUAUUAUACAUAUAUAACUUCUUUUGAUUAAAAUAUUACUGUCUCUAUCUAAAUUAAUAACUGCUUUAAUAAAAACUUCUUCCAAUAAAAGCCAUUAUGUAAUAGUCCCUCAACUUUAUUUUGGAUUUUUUGUCUAUGUUAUAUUAAUUAGUUAAUCUUAAAUUCUACUAAAUUUACUAUUAUUUCAAUAUUACUUGCUACAAAUUGAUUAGAGAUUUUACAUUCAAUAAAAUCAGCAAUAAAUUUUAAAAAAAAUUUAAGUUAACUAAGUAAAUUACUUAAUUUAGAAAAAAAAUUUAAAAGUCAUGGGGCCGUUUCAGAACCGAUUAUACUUGAGGGGUUCCCCAGACAGUUUCACCAAAAUUUAAAUAGGAAGAUAACGGCUAGUAAAAUCGACGUUAGUGACCAGUGAGUGCACACGCACAGGAAACAGAGGUAAAUCUUAGGGAUAUCAACGGGUCAGAUUCGAAGCAAAAUUUUAAAACUCGAAUCCGACUACCAAAUACGAAAUCCGAAUUUGAAUCCGAAUACGACGGAUUUUAAAAAUUCAUACUCAAACCCCAAACUAACCAAAAAUUCAAAAUUCAAACCCAAGCACGAACCGAAACAAUUUUUUUCUUUACAAUAUUUCGAAAUAUAUUACAUUAAAUCUAUAUUUUAAAAAUAUAAAUUCAAAUAUAAUAUCAAAUAUAUAUAUAUAUAUAUAUAUAUAUAUAUAUAAUAAAAAAUAAUUUUGGAUUCGAAUUGAGUUCGGGUUAGGAUUGGAGUACAAUCUAAAUCCAUAUUUCAAGGCCAAAUCUGCUAGAUUUUCAUUUCUAAUGUCUAUAUCCGAAACUACAUCCAUUUAAUAUCAGAUAAACUCACUCCAUUUGAAUUUAAAUUCAAAUAAAAUUUUGGAUAUCCGUAAGCAUUGAGAUUGCUGGGUAAAACCCAAAACCCUAAUGUGCUUAAGUAAUGGCAAAUAUUGCACACCCAAUAACGUACGCAAAGGGUCCUCCACUUAUUCUUAACGACGUUUCAUCAGAGCCACGUGUUAAAUUCGUCUCCACCCAAAAGUUUCUCGGAUAUUUUUAAUUUUUAAUACUAGAAUCCAAAAGAAUUUAAAACCCAAGAGAGAAGAAUUAUAAUUCUUGGAUAAAAGUAGAAUUAAUACCUAGCAGCAGAUCGGAGAUUCUUCAACGAAACAUCAUUGGAAAAACGAGGAGCUUUCCAACGACCCUUCCAAUGACCCAACGCAUCGUUUAGAAACUACGAUCCGCUGUCAUAUGUCAGUUUUAUUUCAAUUCAAUAAUUAUAAUUCUUACAGACCGUCCCUAGCGCAAAUGGCAAAGGACUUGGUGGUUGACACCCAAGGUCCCAAAUUCGAAUCCUUCUUGAUUCACAUUUUCAUAAAAUAAACGAUAAUUUAAAAAAAAUUAAAAUUUUAAUAUUAAAAGUAAUGAUGGAUUAAGAACUCUCCAACAAAGCGAAGAUGUAGGACUACAUAAGUGAAGUUCCAGAACACACGGAAAUCACUAGAAUAAACUCCACAAUAUUUUUAUAAAAAAAAUAAAAGAAUGGCAUUUUCGUAAUUAUGAACUAGACAAAAACGUAUGGAGACCCUCUCAACUUUAUGCUAUUAUGAAACAGGCCCCUAAACUUUUUUUAAAAAAUUUGACAUCUCUUACACGUUUGCUUUCCUAAAAAAAAAUUAAGUAAUUAAACCAAAACAAUUAAAACUUUUUUUUUCAAUUUUUUUAAUAAUUUAAUCAAAUUUAAUAGUUUUAACCACAAUAUAGCUAAAGAAACUGAAUUAAUCAAGUGAUUACAGCUAAUUAAAAAAGGGUGUAAAUCAAAAGAAAAUUAAAUAAAUAAAGUUGAUUAUGUUCUCCAUACACUUUUACGUUAUAAACUAUUAGUAGAAAUUAGUAAGCAAUAAAUAUCAGGUCUAAUAAAUAUAACCAAACUCACACAUCUACCCCCUUACUCCAUUAGCAUAUUAUAUANAAAUAUUAAAAAAAUGUUUACAAAAACCCCUCAACUAUAGACUAUUUUGAAAUAGUCUCUUAAACUUUUACUUUAAAAAAAAAAAUAAUUAAGACCCUAUCAAUUAAUGAUUAAUAACUAAUAAAAUUAUAAAAACUCAAAUAAGAAAGUUUGGGAGCUGAGGUGGCCUCAAUUAAAAAGAAAAAAAAUUGAUGAGUAAUCUAUUUCAAAAUGGCUUAUAGUUGAGGGAGUCCCCAUGCAUUUUUACUUACACGGAAAGAAAAAUAGAGUGAUUCUUUCUUUCAAGAGAGUAAGGAAAGAGAGGGCUUUCACACUAAACACUUAACCAAGUUGAGGUGCGCAAAAAAAAAAAAAAAGUAGUGAAAACAUAAUAAUAAUAUUUUGGGUGCUAAAUCAUAAAAAAAAAAAACAAUUGAAAAGGAGAUAGAGAGAGAAAAGGGCAAAAAAAAAAAAAGAAAGAAAGAAGAAACGCACCUUCAUCGCCAUUAACCACGGAAAGGAUCCCCAGAACCAGCAGAAAAAUCAGCUCCAUGGAUGGAUCUUCCACUUCACAUGCACUAAAUAGAUGUUUCCGGAGAGGACCCAGAAGCUAAAAGCUUGAUUAAAUCGACUAAAAAGUGGAAAAAGAAGAAGAGGAAGAAGAAGAAGAAGAAGAUGAUGAAAAAGGAAGCUUUUUUACUGGAUUUAACCCCAAAAAAAUGAACAAAUUUGGGGGGGAGUGGAGUGAGUGAGGGGGGGUAUUUGGGGAGAGGAGCAGGGGAUUUUUUUGGGGGUUUAAAUGGGGAGGGGGAGAGAGAGUGAGAAUAAUGGUGGGGAGAAGAGUUAAACAAAAAGGUGUGUCUUUUAUAUAAAGAGAGAGCCAGGAAUAGGAAGAGAGAUUAUUGUGCCUGGGUUGGGUGUACAAGUACAUUCCAUACACCACACUUUAAAUAAAAUCCUUUAUUACUAGUGUUAAACAAAGAAAAGGGUAAAAACAUGGUGAAUUUGCAUAGCAAAUCCACCAGUUUUGAAUUUUUACAAAAUCGGACUGUCUUUUUCGAUUUUACAUAUUCUGUCCGAAUUUUCAACAAACUGAUUAAAAUACCCUUCGACCUUUUUCAUAAUUUUGUAUUAGAAUUUUUGUAUGGACAACAUACGAAAGUUAAACUUUAUAGAAAUAUAUUUGCAAUUCAUUAUAUUUGUAGAGAUCUGUAUAAAAUUAACCCUUUAAUAUUAUACAUUCGACGCUUCUCUUAACGACUCAAUUUGAGGCAUUUUGAUAAGUCUAGGAAGUAAACUUUAAAUAGAGCUGCGAUUUGAAACUUCUCUCUAUUUAUUAGACUAUUUUUAAAUUAUUGCUACUGAUCGGUCUUUUGUUUAACAUGAUAUCAAACCUUAAUAAAGUUUUAAAUUCGAAUCCGGACAAGCACUUCAAAAUCAAAUUUCAAUUUUUUUAGAUUUAUUCAUAAAAUUUAAAAAACUUUUGUUAUAAAAUUUAUAUAUGUUGGACAUGAUUUCCUGCAAACAAAGCAUUCUCUCUCGAUCAUUAACUUUCAGGCCUUGUUUGGAUACAUAAAUAUCUUAUUCAGUAUAUUUCUUUAAUUUAUUUAAAAAAUUUGUACGUUUGAUUAAAUGUUUAAAGUUGAAUGCUAAAUUCCGCCUUUAAUUCUUUCUUUUGAAUAAAAUAAAUUAUUUUAUAAGAAAAAUAUACUAUACUAUCAAAUUACAGAUAGCAAUAUUGAUCUUUAAAGGAGCAAAAAAAUUAAACUCCAAACUUAUAAUCAUGCCAGAAAAUUUUUACAAGGGUCUUUAGAAAUAUAUUUAAAUGGAGAUAAUAAAUAUUAAAAUAUCUAAUUUGGCCAUAUGAGAUCUAUUGAAUAAAAUUUUGAUUGAUGAUAUAAAAUCAUAAAUACUCUGUAGUGUAUGAAGAGUAUUCAUACAUCCGGUGCAGGUAAAGAGGGAAGAGAGAGAGGCAGGGGGUCUUUGUCCUCUUCUCUGCGUGCUUCAGAGAUCGGACGGUGGAGAUGUGUUUAUGAUUGGAUCGUUGGGAGGGGACGAGAUGGGCGAUUGAGUGCUUAUAUAGCGGUUUUUAGGAAUACAAAUGGGGCUGAUCCGGAAGAUGGAGGAUUCUCCCACCUUUCGAUUCAUUUCUUAUUUCGCUUCAUUUUUUAUCGAAAUGAGACGAAUUCGUGGGGAAUUAUUUUUUAUUUUACUUUUAGCUUUCACUUAUUAUUCUAUUUGGGGCGGAUCAGAGCAGGAGCAUAUUCUUGGCAAAUUUUUUACGGAUCGAAAUAGAUUGAAGGAAGAAAAGGUCGCCUUCCGCUCCAUUUAGUUGGCGGAUAAGGAUAGUCGAGAUGGAUUCGGGAAAGGCUAUAUUUUCUUAUAUGUUUUGCUCCCACUUACCGCUCCAUUUAUGACGGAUCAUGACGGGAGUUCCACCAACUCGGAUCCAUUUUGCUCUCUAUUUUAAUAGUUUUAUAAUUAUUUUAUAUCAAAUAAUAGAUUUAAUUUGACCUCAUGAUAUUUCUACAUAGAUUCUUUAGAGGACUCAGUUCUUUCUUCUUUUCUUAGAGAAAGCUUGUAGAUCAUAUUACUAAAUUAUAUAGAAAUAAAUGAGAAUUCUUUUAGGGCAUAUUUCGUUCAUAAUUGAAAUAGAAAUGCAAAAUAAAAUUGAAUUGGUUUGAAAUGAAAAGUGGAAUGACGAGUCAUCCAAAAAUAUUUGGUUCAUUAUUGAAAUAGAAAUCGGAAUGAAAAUUUAAAAUUGUUGAGAGACGGUUUUGAAUAAGAGAGAAAAAAGUGAUGAAAGGCGAUGAGGUAGGUGUCGGUUAAAAAGGGUUUUGAAUAGUUUACUUUUUUUCGUUAAAUCUAUGACAAAGUCAAAACCAUAGGGUAACUUACGUGAAUAUUCGAUAAACUAUGAAUAGGAUGUCUAAAGUUUUUUAUAUAUAAUUUAAUAAAGAGUUAAUGGAGAUGCUUACUAAAAUAGAAAAAUGAAAUUAUAGGAUACUAAAGUAAUACACUUUAAACCACAUAAUACUAAAGUGAGAAAUAAAAUUAUAUAAUUUUGGAGGAAUAUACCAAUGCUUUGGAGGGAAACAAAUAUAAUUAAUGGUUAAUUGCAUACAGCCUUCUAUAAACAUAUCAAAUAGUAGAUGUUUUCCUAUAAAAUUCAACUUUUUAUUUUUGUUCCUCCAAAGUUCAAAAGUCCUAACGUUUUCAAAUAUAUCCCUGUUGUUAGAAUCCGUUAGAAGAAUGUAAUUAACCAGAAGUAUAAUACUUAACCCUUAUUAGUAAAUGAGUUAUUGACUUUUUUACCCCUCUUAUAUUAUUAAGUAAAAUAUUUUUUUGGAGGAUAUUUUUACAUAAUUCUAGCAGUUAGGGCUUUUGGAGGGAUAUAUUUAUAAGGAUAAAAAUGUCAUUUUACUUAUCUACUGUUAAAAAAAGUUGAUUAUCACUGAAAUUUUGUAGGAAUAAAAAUAAAAAGUUAAAUUUUGUAGAAAUAUAUUUGCUAUUUGAUAUGUUCGUAGGGAGCUGUAUGCAAUUAACCUUAUAAUGAAUUAUAAAAAUUAGGGUUAAAUGCAUACAUGUCCCUGCAAACAUAGUGAAUUGCAAAUAUAUUUCUAUAAAGUUCAGCUUUCAUAUGUUGUCUCUGCAAAAAUUCUAAUAUUUUCAAAUAUAUCCCUCUAAUUUAUUACCGUUAUAUAACUAUUUAUAUUUUAUGUAAAAUGUUAUUUUCGUCGUCACAAAUAUGUUCCUCCAAAAGCCACAACAGUAUAAUAUAAGAAGAGCAAAAAUAUCAAGUUAUCUCAUAAACUAACCUGGAUUAAGCAUUUAACUAUGGUUAACUAAAAUUUUCUAACAGAUUCUAACGGCAGGAACAUAUUUAAAAAUAUUAGGACUUUUGCAGAAGUAACAUAUGAAAAUUGAACUUUAUAGGAAUAUAUAUUUGUAAUUUACUAUAUUUGCAAGGACCUGUAUGAAACUAACCCUAAAAAUUAAGCAGAGCUAGCAGUGCACAGGCAUUUUGGUGGACCAGGUGCAGGGGGAAAUCUCUUCUCAAUUUGGGCCUGGGAGAGGGCGUGGGCUUGGGGCAGCGGGAAAUGCUCGCAACCCCACCACCACGGGCGCGAGGUACGAGGAGGGGAGGUGGUGUGGGGCCGGGGAUGACGUGGCGGAUCCGAAGAGGAGCAACGGUCAUAUUUCCUCUUCAUGAUGAUCCCAAUCUAGGGCACGGCUUUUUUCGACUUUUCGAGCUUAAAUUUUAAGCUACAAUUUCGUACUUCUUGUCUCGCUUUUUUAUUUUAUUUUUUAUUUUUUAAAAAAAUUGUUUUUCACCGGGGAUGAAAAUGUCUCUGAUAUUGGGUCUGUUUCUAUCAAAGUAAUAUUGUUAAAAAAAAAAUACUGUAAAAUAUAAUACGGUACUGUAAAAAAAAAAGAAGAAUUAUAGAGUAUUUGAUUAUUUUCGUUUAAUAAAAAUAUUAAAAAUAUCGUCUAUUAUAAAAGGUUGUUUGAUAACAACUUUGUUAAAUUAGUAUAAACUAGUAUAAAGUAUAUAUUUAAACAUAUAAAUUUAAUUUAGUGGUCCAUAGUAAUUUACAAUUAAAAUUAAAAUUUAAAAUUUAAUUUUGAAAAUUAAAAAUUAAUUUUAAAUCUAACUGGAAUUUAAAAUUUGAAUUCAAAUUCACAUUUUUGUAUUUGAAAUAUAAAAUACAAAUAAAUUUGAAUUUGAAUUUGUGUCACGCCCCGGAUUACACGUUUUCCGGGCAUGCCGACAAAUCCGCCAUAUUCAUGUAUACGAAGCGUAGCUGUACAUGUAAAACAUACAAUACUACUACCAGUAGUAUAGAGCUGCUAGGAAACAAAACAUAACCAGAUAGAAAAGAACAGUUCACCAUACAUACAACAUCCAGUAUACAAAAACUCGCCCAGCGAGAUACAGUAUCAACAGUAUGUAUAUGAACUCAAAAACUGCAACUACUUGUAGCUGGUGCUCCGCUAACUCGACGANAUUGUUAAAAUCCAAAACCGGCUUUGGUAUAUUUUUAAUAUAUAAUAUUUCUAUUUAGUUCAUAUUCAGUAAUAUUUUUUUAGAAAUCUUAUAGAGUCCGUUAGGAAAUGCUAUAAAAGUAGUGUAAUUGGAGAAAACAGGAUUUUUUGCUAUAUUAGACAAUUUACGCACGGGUACUUUUUGUAUAAAUUUAAAUAUAGAGUUUAUGAUCCGAAACAAAAUAUGUUUGAUAAAAAAUAAAGAGAAAGACGUAACUAUGUAAGAAAGGGAAAAAGAUAUGUUACUCCGUAAGAAAGGAAAAAAGAUAAAAAAAAAAAGCAAGCAUUUUGAAAUAAAGUAAUAGGGUAUCGAAUUUUAUCAAAUACCAAAUUGUUUUUAAAAAAAAACUAUGUAAACAUUUUAACAAAUCCCAAAAAGGCUCUUAAUUUUUUCCGAUGCUUCUCUAGUCUUGGAUAAAUAUAUAUUGACAAUUUUUUUUUUUCACUAAACAUUCAUUAAUACCUGCUUCGCAUUUAUACCUAUCUAUAUCUAUAUUUAUACCUAUACAUUAAAGAAAUGCCACAUGACUGUGUUUCCUUUACUUUUGGACUUCACAUUACGAAACCAACCCUUCGUCUUCUCUCCAACUCUCCAACUAUAAUGUCUAAUUAAUGGUCUACCCAUCUUAACCCAACCAUUCGUCUUCCCUAUGUAUAAUGUCUAAUUAAUGGUCCACCCAUCUUAACCCAACCAUUCUCCUUUCCUCUGUAUAUAACAUCUAAUUAAUGGUCCACCCAUCUUAACCCAACUCUUCGCCUUCCCUCCGCACAUAACAUCUAAUUAAUAGUCCACCUAGCUUAACCCUAAUUUAAAUUGUAAAUCAUAGAAACCAACGCAAAAUCUCCCUUCUCUCCUCUGCUUUCUCUUCCUCCUCCAUGGACUCUGAGGCUAAGAUCGAGCACGUGAUGUGGAUGGACGAUGAGUUUGCACGCUGCCGAACAAAUCGAGUCUUUCUCCAAAUUUCAGGAGUUCUUUUUAAAGUUUUACAUAUUCUUUAUGUUGUAGUGUUGAAAUUUCUUAAAUAGCUUUAUUCAGUUUUUUCAAGUUUUUUUUUAUUUGCAUGGUAUUCAAACUGAUGUGUUUAUUAUGUUGAAAUUUUAUUACUUUUUAUUUUUCUAUUCUUUGUUUUUUUACAUUUUUUUUUCAAAAGUAAAAUUUUGUAUUAUAACCGACUGUCCCUAGAGCAAGUGGUAAAGGGCUUAGUGGCUGGUACCCGAGACCCAAGUUCGAAUUCUAGUUGAUUCACAUUUCUAGUUAAGUUUAUUUCUAAAUGAAAUAAACGAAGCGGGUAGCGUGCUACCUAUCUCUCAAAAAAAAAAUUUAUAUUAUAUUUGCUGUAUUAGGUUGUAUUAGGUUGUAUAUCUUUUUGUCUCUUAAAAAUUUAUUGUAUAACUUUUCAUAUGCUUACUCUUUUUGUACUUUCAGGACUCUUUUUAUUAACUGAUGUAAGGAUAUUUAUAAAAUUAGAUUUAUAUGUAAUCUAAAAAGAUUUUUAUUUUCUUGAAAGGAUAAGUAUCAUUACUUAUAUAGAAAAUAAAGGGAUAGAUAUAUAGUUUAUACAAAAAAGCUUAACCCUUUGAUUGUUUUGAUUUAUAAAAUAUUAAUUUUUAUUGAAUUUUUUAUCUAAAUCUCUUUCAAAUAGUAUGUCACUUUUCGGCUCAAUAGGUUGACAUACUUAUUAUCUUUUUAUAAACAUUUUGUUACUAAUCGGCUUCGGCAGAUUAAUAUAUUUUUGCAAGAAGCCACUAUGUUUGGAUUAUUUUGAUUUUUAAAAUAAUAGUAAUUUUUUGAUACAUUAGUUAGACAUUAAAUUUAUUUUAGUAGUUGAGGCUUAUACAAAUAUAGCUAAUAAUAAUAAUGCUAAUAAUAAUAGUAAAAAGCUAGGAUUAAUUGUAUAUCACAUUAUCACGAGAUAAUUUUUUCACAUAAAAACAUUCAAAUAACAAAAGUAGAUAUUAAAAAUAGGGGCAAUUGCUUAUAUACCCCUGAAAUGUUUCUGAUUUUUUUAACUGUUGUAGAUAUUUAACUCACGUUUAACAUAAGUUAACUUAACGGAUGGUAACUGUAGGGGUAUUUUGGAAUAACGGAGGAACAUAUGAGAGGUAUAUUGGAAAGAAAAAAAAAAGUAAAUAAAAUAUUUUCGAAGUUUUGAAGGGUAUAUUGGAAAUUAU
This 53598-nucleotide long non-coding RNA is filed under the name Ananas comosus (pineapple). RNAcentral describes it as "long non-coding RNA (ACOM_LNC000515)". The record is from RNAcentral. Lineage: Eukaryota; Viridiplantae; Streptophyta; Magnoliopsida; Poales; Bromeliaceae.